ACUUUGUGUUUGUAGUAACAAAGCUUAAACUACUUUAAGUAUUUUAACUCUGCCAACAAAUUCACACAGUAUAAAGUAUCAAACAGAACAUUAAAAUACUUCUAACAAAUGACAAUAUCAAAGUCUCAAACUUACACAAUAUCAUAGUCUCAAACAUAUGAAAUUCAAAAACCACACAAGAUAAAAGUCUCAAACAUAAAAAGUCUCAAAGUUUAAAGCAUUUUCUAUUCCUCAUAGAUAAACUCGAAUUCAUCACCAAUUUCUUGAAAGACACAUAACCAAUUCUUUGCACAUAUCAAAGGUUGAACAAUUGUAGGUAAGAGACAUCUCCGAUAUUUUUUUGAGAACACAGCUGCCUACACUAAAAGAUGAUUCUGACGCCACUGUUGUAAUAUGGAUAUUAAGAACAUCAUAAGCUAUUGAUGCCAAAUAUUUAAUGCGACUUGAAUUGUCUUUCUAAUAUGCCACCACAUUUAAACUUCUAAAGGUAACCAUAUCAAUUACUGGCUCAUCCAUAUAUGUGUUAAAUCGUGAUUUUCCACUACCACCUCUGUUUUGAGAAAAGUAAUAAUAAAACCUAUGAAAAACGACACUACUGAUCAAAUUAAGAAUUAUGUAAGUCUGCAAUCUCACAAGUCUGAAACAAACAAAAGUUACUCUUCUACAAGUUCACUAAUCUGAAACAAUCAAAUGUCUAUAAAACGUGCAAGUUUACAAGUCUGAAACAAACAUGUUCAAGUCUACAAGUUCACAAGUCUACAAGUACACAAGUCUGAAACAAACAAAUUCAAGUUUACAAAUUCACAAGUCUACAAGUUCAAGUGUAAGUCUACAAGUUCACAAGCUUAAAUAAAAGUACAAAAAUAUAAGUUGGAAUAAAACUAGACAAAAUAGUACAUACUUACAUCAUAUCCUGAAGGGAUGUUGCUUUUAGAAAUAUGUGAAGUAUACUCUAUUGAUGCUUGUGUCUCUCUUAUAUGCUCCGAAAAGCUUAAACAUCUUGCCACACACAUAAUCUAAGUAGUUUGGUAGUGACUGGAUCUGUAAUAUUGUAACAAUUCUCUAGAAAAGUAAACUUCGGUCUAUGAUCAAGUAUUGUUAGUAUGUCAUUGAACUCUUCCCAGUAUUUGUCGAUUUUCUCUUUCAUAUCCUUCACCAUUUCACAAAUAACGUGAUCUUCUGAAUCUUCAUGACUUCUCACCCAACACUUAAUCGACCACACUUGCAUAAAGUACAAGUUAGUUGUGGGGUAUGAUGAACCAGAGAUGAGCUUUGUGACUUCAGCAAAUGAUUUCAAUAGCUAGUAGAUCAAUUCUGAUCUUUCUCACUCCAAUCCAAAUGGAAAGCUUUUGUAACUUCUACCAUUUCCUUCAAACUAGUGUUUGAAUCCUUCCUAAGGGGUCCAAGUCAGCAUCCACCUAGGAAAGUCGCCUCCUGUCCAUGCGACACGUGUCCGGUGGAUGAAACUCACCGUUUCAUUUAAACGGUUUGAUGGGCUUCAGCCCAACAGGGCCAUCUCUGCUGCAAGACUUCAUCGUCUCCGCGACCUCGAUUUCUCAGCAAGGCAUCUCGCGACUCCUCAUGUCAUCUCUGUGGCGGCUCCGCAAUUGCCUCCCUCCGUUGCCGUGACCAAGCUUCCUUCGCGACUAAGCCACGUUAUCUCCUAGCUCCCAAAGUCGUCGAUCUCACUUCCAAUUGCAGAAGAUCUCAAGCCGCGGCAGCCAAUCUCACUUCUAUUUUCGUCUGAAGGGUUGAUGGUUGACCGUCUCCGACUCUUCACUUCGUCGUCACCAUUUCGACUCUUUGUAAUUCGUCGUUACCGCGACCCACUUAGAUUAAUCAAUUAUCUUCUUUACUCCUUUCGUCUCUUUUUAUAUCAUAACUAGGUGUUUUGUCCGCGAUGCGGGCUUUAAACAUUUUCAUAAAUUUUUGAAAAGUUUUUUGUACACUAUAUUCAUUACUAAAAUAAAUCUUAAAAUAACUCAAUAUUGUAUUUUUAAUUAUAUAAUUUUUAAAAAAUAUUUGAUUAAUAUUUAAUUAUAUAAUUUAUGUUUUUAAUGUUUUACUAAAAUACUUUUUCAGAUAACAAUACAAUAUAUAUAGAAAUUAUUUUUUAAUUAUAUUUUAAGAUUUUGGAUAAUUCAAUAUUCUAUUUUUAAUUAUAUAAUUAUGAAUUUUAUUUAAUUAAUAUUUAGUUAUAUAAUUUAUGUUUUUAACUUUUUACUUAAAGGCUUUUUCAGAUAACAAUACAAUAUAUACAAAAGUUAUUUAUUUUUUAAAUUAUAUUUUCAGAUUUUGGAUAAUUCUUACUAUUCUUAAUAUUAAUUAAUUAUCUAAUUAAAAUCAAUUAAAAUUUCAUUUUGAUUUUUUAAUUUAUUUAUACAUUUUAUUCAUUAAGAGUAUAAACGAUAUUAACCACUCUAACUUUCAACAUGAGAGCUCCAUUGCGAAAAUUUACUUCGCAAAUAAUAGUAUAGAUUAUGCUUUAUGGUUUGAAUCCGGUGGUUUAUUAUUUUUAUUUUUGUUUGUAAUUGUUUUCAGCCACCACUCAUUCCAGCCAGAAACAUCUGGAUACUCUGUUCACGUAGCUAUGUUCACAAGAAGUUGCUUAGCAGAGGAUGAUAGUCUGAUCACGCAGCUAUUCGUAAAAACGGUAUCUAUCUCUUCUUGGCCGAGUACAAAUAAUAUUUUUUUGGUUGUUUCAUUCAAUUGUUUUUGUCUGGUAAUUAGGAGAUAGUGAAUUGAGGAGACAAUCAGAGCGAUGAAAUAAAAUAAUUUGAGCAAGUAAGUGUAAAACUGGAAAGCCUAUUAUCCUAAGCACUUUGCUAUUGACAAAAUCUGUUAUAUAUAUAUAAUGAUUAGAAGGAUGCCGAGAAACAGCUGUGAAAUCGUUGCAGAGUGGACGACCAUAAUGCAUGAAGCUAUAUAACUUAAAGGAAACAGAAAAAUGUUUCACAUUUUUUUUUAGGAUAAAUGGUCAUCCGUUUGAUGCAGAAAUGUUCUACUUGAGGCAUGUAUGCACAAAGUGACAGAAGAGUCAGAAAAACGUGGAGCAGUUUGGUCUGAAAAGUGGCCAGAGUAGAGAUUGUUCAUCAGUGGUUUGAAGACACAUAUGGAAAUCAGCACAAGAGGAUUUCACAGCAGACAUGAUUGUUGAAAAAUUAUUGUUUCAGUCAUACUUCAAGGGUGUAGGAAUUGAUUGGUGGUAUGUGAGAAACAUUAUGGAUUGAGAGCUGUAUAUGGAGGGUAAGCACUGAAAAAAAAAUCUUUCACCAAUACAAAAUUGGCUCCAUGUAUCUGUUACGAAAUGAUAUAUCUCUGUUUCUGGCUUUCAGUUUUAUUGCUGCAUUGAAGGAUCUGAGACAGUGAGACUCUGUGUGAUUAAUGUACUUUCCUCAAACUUACGACCUUCAUGAUGAUUCAUCAAUUCUCUGCACUGAAGAAGAGGUAUGUAUAUAUACAGCACUCUCACAUAUAUGCUUCUCUAUUGCCUUUUUUAUAUUUAUGAAUGCAAAAUCUGAUGUGUAAACAAAACCUUUAGGUGCAGCUUUGUUGACCUAACUUAAGCUUAAAGUUAUCUUGUUGUUAUCCUAAUGAGUUUAGGAUUUGAAUAUCUUGAGUUGUAGUUAUCUAGUUAAGUUUAUCCUAAUGAGUUUAGGAAACUAUGAGUUAGUAUAUAAGAAGCUAUCAUGAUGUGAUAGAGCUUAACGUGUGAUUGAGAGCUUUUAGUUUUUGAGACUUUCUAAAGGCAAUAAAAGAGUUCUUGAGUUUGAGAUUAUUAACUGUGAUUGUUGAGCUACGAUCAUAUCUUUGGUUUCAAUAAUUGGUAUCAGAGCCUUAAUAUUGAAAUCAAAGACGUUUGAGGAGAGAAGAUAAGCAUGGCGGAUUUGUCGAUAACCACUUUCAAACCUAAAGAGAAUGGUUCCUCAGCAAUCAAGUGUCCAAUGCUCAUCACCACUAACUACACAGUUUGGAGUAUGCGCAUGAACGUUUUGCUCAAGGUGCAUAAGGUUUGGGAAGCAAUCGAUCCAGGUAGUGAUGAUGGAGACAAAAGUGAUAUGGCUCGAGCAUUCCUAUUUCAAUCAAUCCCUGAGAGUUUGGUUCUUCAAGUUGGUACUCUAGCAACUGCAAAGGAAGUUUGGGAUGCGAUUAAAGCUAGGAAUGUAGGAGCUGAUAGGGUUCGAGAGGCGUGGUUACAAACGCUUAUGGAUGAGUUCAAUAGGAUGAAGAUGAAAGAUACAGAAACCAUAGAUCACUACAAGAAAACAUCGGGAUACUGAGGGAAAAAAUCGUCGAUAUGUCGUCGGAAUAACGAUAUUCCGAGGACAUACCGACGAAAAAAGUCCUCGGAAACAACUCCUCGGAAAUUCAUAAUUCCUCGGAAUUCCGUCGGAAAAUUCCGACGGAAUUCCGAGGAAACAAAAUUCCGAGGAAACUCCGAGGACACGAAGUUCGUCGGAAGGUUCCUCGGAAAAUACCGAGGGAAUUCCGAUGGUCCAAUCCUCGGAAGUUUCGACGAAAUAUUCCUCGGAAUGUUUAUCGGAAAAUACCGAGGAACAAAUGUUCCUCGGACUUUUCCGAGGAACUUUCUUCCCUCGGAAAAUUCCGAGGGAGUGGAGUUUCUCGGAAAAUUCCGAGGAACUUNNNNNNNNNNNNNNNNNNNNNNNNNNNNNNNNNNNNNNNNNNNNNNNNNNNNNNNNNNNNNNNNNNNUUCGUUGAUUCGAACCCGAGACAAGUUGGUCGAGGCCGUCGAAUCGUCAUCAUCGGUUUGAAGCUGAGACACUUCGUCAUACACCUGAGUUUGGACCAGGUCGACCACGUCCCUCACAAGACCAUCAUCAAUCUGGCCGGUCUUCUUGUUGGUAUACGCCCUUUUCAUAAGGGCGAGAUCAUCAACUGGGUGGCCUUCAUUUUCUUCCGCCUUGAAAAAAAAUAAAUUAGACAAACAUUAGAAAUUUGAAAAUGCAAAAAAAAUAAAAUUCUGAAACUUAAAUAAUUGAAGAAAAAACGGUUGAGCUUACCAUGCGAUCCGCCAGAGUGGCAAUAGAUUGAGCACCCAAGUUAUGCUUGUAGAUGCCCUUUCCUUUACGGUCGCUCAUGCGGUUGUUGGAGUUGGUGGAAGAAGUUUCUUUCGUCUCUUCUUUAUCCCAAUGCGCACACAACUCCUUCCAGACCGUGUCGUUCAUCGACUUUUGGACCUUUUAAUUUUUUUAAAAAAAAGUUUAAUAAUUUUAAAAAUAGUUUAAUAAAUUAAAAAUUGUUAAUAAAUUAAAAACUACCUUGUUUACUUCCCACUUCUUCUUCCACUCGUACAUCUGCUUCCCAUAGUUGUCCAUAACUUUAUGGACAAAAUGGUGAUAGAUAGAAAGCGUAUCAUCGGCAUUCCAGUUGAAUUCUUGCUGAAAAAAAAAAUAGAUAAAGAGCGUCUCAUCGGCAUUCCAGUUGAAUUCUUGCUGAAAUAGUUUAAAAAUAGUUUUUAAGCACAAAAAUAUAAUAGUUUAAUAAUUACAAAAAUCAUCGUUUUAAUAAAUAAAAAAUAGUUUAAUAAUUAAAAAUAAUUUAAUAAUUACAAAAAUAAGUUUUAAUAAUAUUUAAAAUGUCUAAUAAAUAUAGAAAUUAGUUUAAUAAUUACAAAAAUAAGUUUUAAUAAUAUUUAAAAUGUCUAAUAAAUAUAGAAAAUAGUUUAAUAAUUACAAAAAAUAGUUUUAAUAAUAUAAAAAAUAUAAUUUAAAAAUUAGAAUACUUACCGCAAACUGCUGAAACCACAGAUGCUGCUUCUCGACAGGGAAGUGAGUGAAAGUCGGAUGUCCGCUGUCGAGGGCCGAGUACAUCAUACGGUUGGUCCAUGCGCUGAUCCCGUUCCCGGAUCGGUUGAACCUAAUAAAAAAAUAAAUUAUUAAUAAAAAAAUAGUUUAAAUAAAAAAUAGUUUAAAAAAUAAAAGUUUAAAUUACCAUGUUUGACCAUGUCCAUGUGGAUACUCAGUGAGAUAGGGAAGAUGGUCACGACCGGGCUGUCGAACCAACUCCGCAACCCUCAUCACUCCCAGAGGACCCGGAGGAAUGGUCACGACCGGGCUGUCGAACCAACUCACCAACCCUCAUCACUCCCAGAGGACCGGGUGCAGCAGCGGGACCAGGAGCGGGUGCAGCAGCGGGAGCGGGAGCAGCAGGAGCGAGUAAUGGAGAGGGAGAUGUAUGGUAUGAGCUGUGGGGCGAAACGGAAUCCUGAACAUGGCUGGAAGAACCGCGAGACUGGCUCCCCAUACCACCCCGGCUACGACGCUGGCGAGGCCGGAUCUGAUCAUCAUUAGACCUGUAAAUUAAAAAAAAAACAUAUUUAAAAAUUAGUUCUAAUAAUUUUAAUUAAAAAAAACAGUUUAAAUAAAAAAUAGUUAAAAAACAUAGUUUUUAAUCACAAAAAUAUAAAUAGUUUAAUAAUUAAUAAAAAAAGUUUUAAUAAAUAAAAAAUAGUUUAAAAAUUUUAAAAAUAGUUUAAAUAAAUCCCAAAAACAUAAUAAUUACGAAAAAUAGUUUUAAAAAUGUUUAAAAUGUUAAAUAAUUACAAAAAUAGUUUUCAUAAUAUUAAAAAUGUUUAAUAAAUAUAGAAAUUUAUAUUUUACAUAUAAAAUACAAAAAAAUGUUUUUAAAUAUUAUAUAAAUGAUUUUUAAUCUUAAAAAAGUUUUAUAGAUUUUAAAAAUGUUUAAUAAAUAUAUAAAUGAAUUUAAAAUGCAAAAAAUAGAUUUUAUAUACAAAAAACGUUUUCAAUAUAUAUAUAUAAUUUCAAAUUCGAUUUUUAUAACCACAAAAUUAAUAAAAACUAAAAAAAAAAUUCAAAUCAAGUGAAAUACAUAAUCAAACUCGAUUUUACACAAAUCUACCAUUCACCCUAACAAAAUCUAUAAAUCUCAUUCCAAAAUCAUCAAAUCUACUUAAAAACCAUACAAAUCUAACCUAAAAGAGUGGGAUAGGGUUCUUACAUGAUUUUGGGGGAGGAUUAGGGGAGAUUCGCCGGAAAAACGCGAGAGAGAACGGUGGAGUCGCCGGAAAUCGCGAGAGGAGAGGCUCAGCGGCGCGGAGAGAAAGAGAGAAAUGGGGAAGAAGAUCGGGCUCGCCCUAAUAUUAUGAGGCGUCCGACGGAAACUAUCCGUCGGAAUUUCCUCGGAAAUAUUUUAUAUUUCCGUCGGAAUUUCCUCGGAAUUCUUUGAUUCAAUUUUCCCGAAAUAUUUGGCGGCUUGGUUUACCCGGUUAAAUGAAAAUAUUCCGACGAACCAUGAUUCCUCGGAAUACCCUCGGUAAUCUCCGAGAAAUUUCUGAGGAACCAGGGUUUGGGGUUUUAAAACAUCGAUUAUUUUCGCCGUAUUUCAUUUCUUAUACAAUUAUAAUGCAUACCAUUGAGGAUUCUUUGUAUAGAUGAUCAUAAACCAUGAAAUAACACAAUUUCAAAAAUAAUUGUAAGUAUUCCCUUUACCAUUUAUUAAAGUGUAUAAGUGUUUCUCUUAUGUUGUGUGGUUUUCGUUCAUGCAAUCGUAAAAGUGUUUGUUAUUGGAUAAAACACCAAAGUUCAUAGUUCCAAACAUCAUAAUCUGGUUAUGACACUUAAUGAAGGUUAUAUACGUGUUAUUCAAUCCGUAAAACAUUGUUUUCGAUUUAAAACCCCCAGUUCCUCGGAAUUUCCUCGGAAUAUACCGAGGAGAUUCCGAGGAAAUCCUUAUGUUCGUCGGCAUUUCCUCGGAAUAUACCGAGGAGAUUCCGAGGAAAAAGAAUCUAUAAUCAAAUCCCCAUCUCCUCGGAAUUUCCUCGGAAUUUUCCGAGGAAAUACCGACGAACAUAAAGAGUUCCUCGGAAUUUCCUCGAAAUUUUCCGAGGGAAUUCCGAGGAACUUGGGGUUUUCAAUCGAGAAGAUCUAUUCCGAGGAAAUUCCGAGGAAAACCUAUCUGUCCUCGGAAUUUCCUCGGAAUUUUCCUUUAAAAAAAAAAAAAAAAAGGUCAGUUCCUCGGAAUUUCCUCGAAAUUUUCCGAGGGAAUUCCGAGGAACUUGGGGUUUUCAAUCGAGAAGAUCUAUUCCGAGGAAAUUCCGAGGAAAACCUAUCUGUCCUCGGAAUUUCCUCGGAAUUUUCCUUUAAAAAAAAAAAAAAAAAGGUCGACGCUAGUCUGUUUCCGAGUCGUCAUCACCAGAUGAAUCUGAAUCUGGAUCUUGGUGAAACUCUCCAAUCACUGGUUCAUCCUCUACGUGAACGGCGGCUUCUUCUCCGAAGUCAGUUAAAUCGACUACAAGGCCAACUCCACCUAAAUCUUCUGCUGCACUUAAGUUGCCGGAUGUGCUUGGUUGUAGUGGGUCUUCCAGCUCAUAACUUCCCUGAACUCGGCCUCUCGGGUUGAGUCUUGUAACAGUAACCCAUGGAUCAUCUCUGUUCCUUACCCGGGGGUACUUGAUAUAACAAACCUGAUCGGCCUGAGAAGCAAGAAUGAAAGGAUCAUAAUAUUGCAGCUUCCGUCUUGAAUUUACUGAUGUAACACCAAAUGCAUCUGUUCUCACACCUCGAUCUGGAGUGUUGUCGUGCCAGUCACAAUAGAAAACAGUACAGCGCAAUCCAACCAUGCCCAAAUACUUGAUUUCCAAAAUCUCAUUUAUGUGUCCGUAGUAUACAUCAUCUCCUGAUGCAGAACAAACACCAGCAUCGUAAGUCGUACUCGAACGUCUCCUCUUCUGAGUUGUGAAUGCAUAUCCUCGAGUACAAAAUCUCGGAUAUGACUUCACAACAAAGUUUGGUCCAACACGACCAUCUCGCGUAUCCAAUCGUCAAAUGUUUCACCUCUGGCCAAACCAUCACUCACAUAAGUAAACAUCCAUCCACCAAAUUCUCUCUGCUUCAUUUCUUCUAGUUCGUCCUCUGUGGCGUAUCUAUAUUCUAACCGCUUUUCUGCCAUGAAAAUCCUUUCAUAUUGAAGAACAUCUUCGCAGUUGGUGAGUAAAUAUGUUUGCAAAUGACUGCGCUCCUGAUCAGUAAGUCGACGGUCCUUUGGUUUUCCGCUAAGUCGUCCAACGUCUGUGAAAAUGUCUGGAACCUUCCAAUGAUAUGUUGCCCGUUCGCCUCUAUCAUCAUGCCGAGCAGGUCUUCUGUUUUUGGUCUGAACUUCUGCUGGAAAGUAGUACUCGGCAAAGUUUGAAGUUUCUUCAUUGAUCAUCUGUGCGACUAUAGACCCUUCCACCCUACUUAAAUUUUUCACCAUCUUCUUCAAAUGGAACAUAUACCGCUCAUACAGAUACAUACAUCUAUACUGCACAGGACCACCAAGUUCCAAUUCUCUUACCAGGUGAAUAACAAGAUGCUCCAUAACAUCAAAAAAUGAGGGAGGAAAUAUCUUCUCAAGGUUGCACUGAAUCACAGCUAUGUUAGUCUUCAAAUUUUCAAUAUCUUCAAGAGUCACUGAUCUUGUGCAUAAAUCGCGGAAGAAACCACUUAUCCCUGCAAUUGCUUCAUGAACAUUUCGUGGUAAUAGUUCCUUGAAGGCAAACGGAAGGAGACGCUGCAUCAUUACAUGGCAAUCAUGGCUUUUCAAGCCAGUAAACUUUCCUUCCUUUCUGUCGAUACAGUUACGCAAAUUAGAUGCGUAACCGUCUGGAAAUUCCACAUCGUUUGAAAUCCAAUCAAAGAACGCAUCCUUUCCCGCUGCAUCAAGUCGGUAUAUGGGAAAAGGAGCCCUACCACUCUCAUCAACAUGAAGUUCUGAACGAGCACAUAUAUCGACUAAAUCCAGUCUUGACUUCAAAUUAUCCUUUGUUUUACCUUGAACAUUAAGGAUCGUGUUCAUGAGAUUGUCAAAAAAGUUCUUCUCGAUAUGCAUGACAUCUAAAUUAUGCCUUAGUAGAUGAUCCUCCCAGUAUGGCAGAUCCCAAAAAAUACUUUUUUUGUGCCAGUUAUGUAGGUUUCCAACACCAUCUACCGGAAAAUGCUCAUGUCCACCGACGUCUGGCGUCCUUUCUGCACCAAAAUCUCUAAGUUGUGUCUUCAAAUCUUUCCCACGAAUUUCCGGAGGUGGACUGUCAAACACCCUCUUGUUCUUCGUAAACAAAUUCCUACUUCUACGAUAUGGAUGAUCUGGUGGUAGAAAUCUCCUGUGACAGUCAAACCAACACGUUUUCCUUCCGUGUUUUAGUUGGAAAGCAUCAGUGUUAUCUUGACAAUAUGGACAUGAUAGCCUUCCAUGCGUUGUCCAUCCAGAUAACAUACCAUAUGCUGGAAAAUCACUUAUUGUCCACAUUAGUACUGCCCGCAUUUGAAAGUUUUCUUUAUACGAAACAUCGUAUGUUUCAGCACCUUGAGUCCAUAGUUGUUGCAACUCAUAUAUUAGUGGCUGAAGAAACACAUCAAAUGAUCUCUUAGGAUGCUCUGGUCCGGGAACGAGAAUCGAGAGAAACAAAAACUCUCGUCGCAAGCACAAGUUUGGGGGUAGGUUGUAUGGUGUAAGAAUGACUGGCCAUAGAGAAUACUGUCUUCCACUCUUGCCAAACGGGCUGAAACCAUCAGUACAUAAUCCAAGGUAGACAUUUCUUCUCUCAUACGCAAAGUCGGGAUACUUUGAUUGGAAAUGCUUCCACGCUUUUGCAUCUGAAGGAUGUCUGAUCUCACCAUCUGUUGAGUGCUCCGCAUGCCAUCUCAUUGGUUGCGCUGUGCGUUCAGACAGAUACAGCCUCUGCAACCUUUCCGUCAAAGGCAAAUACCACAUCCUUUUAUAUGGUACUGGAACUCUUCCACUCGUAUCUUUAUAACGAGGCUUCCCACAAAAUUUGCAUGAAACCCGCUGUUCAUCCGCCCUCCAAUAAAUCAUGCAGUUGUCUCUGCAUACAUCUAUUACCUGAUACGAUAAACCAAGACCAGCUACGAGUUUCUGAACCUCGUAGUAUGAGCCAGGAGCUACAUUAUCUUCGGGUAGAAUACCUUUUACAUAAUCAGCAAUCGCAUCCACACAGUCUUCAGCCAAAUUAUAAUCCGUCUUAAUGCCCAUCAAUCUUGUAGCAGAUGAUAAAGCUGAAUGACCAUCUCUGCAACCUUCGUACAAUGGUUGCUUUCCAGCAUCCAACAUAUCAUAAAAUCUCCUAGCUUCGGCAUUGGGUAAAUCUUCCCCUCUAAAAUGAUCAUUUACCAUCUGCUCAGUACCUACACCGUAAUCUACAUCCGUUCUAAUUGGAUCUUCUAAUCUAACCGCUGGCUGAGGUUCGCUAGUACUACCAAGUUCAUAAUCAGUUUCUCCAUGAUGAUACCAAAUUUUGUAACUUCGUGUAAACCCACUCAAAUAUAAAUGAGUCCAAACAUCCCAUUCUUUAAUAACUUUUUUAUUUUUACAAUUAGAGCAAGGACAUCUUAACAUACCUGUUUUUGCUUCCGGUUGUCGGUGAACUAACCCCAUGAAUUCGGUUAUACCUUGUUGGUAUUCUUCCGUAAGCAAUCUCGUGUUCGGAUCCAAAUGAGGUCGAUCGAUCCAAGAACGAAAAUAAUUUGAAGAAGACAUGUUUUUUAUGAAUCAAAUUCGUGUGUAAAGAAAGUGAGAGGGAGGAUGAAGAUAUGGUGUGAAUGAAGAGGAAGAGGGGUGCUUGUAUUUAUAGUUGAAAUCCUGCCGACGGUCCGAGGAAAUUCCGACGGAAUUCCGAUGCAAACGGCUAGUUCGUCGGAAUUUCCUCGGAAUUUUUAAAAUCCCCCAACGGCUCUCCAACGGCUCUCUAACGUCUAUAAUAUUUCCUCGGAAUUCAUCGGUUUUUUCCGAGGAAUACUAGUUUCCUCGGUAUUCCGUCGGAAUAUUCCGACGAAAUGAAUUUUCCUCGGAAUUCCGUCGGAAUAUUCCGACGGAAUUCCGAGGAAGCAAAAUUUUGUGUUUCCUCGGAAUUGCCUCGGAAAUGCCUCGGUAUAUUCCGAGGAAUUCAUUUUCCGUCGGAACGUCCGUCAGAAUACCGCUGUUUUCUUGUAGUGGAUGAGUUCUCUGGUAAAAUUUCUGACAUAUCUUCCAAGUCUGCAGCGUUAGGCGAAAUUCUUGAUGAACCAAAGCUUGUUAAGAAAUUCCUCAGCAGUCUUCCGAAGAAAAAAUACAUACAUAUCGUAGCUGCGCUUGAACAAGUCCUUGAUCUAAACACAACAGGAUUUGAGGAUAUUGUGGGAAGGUUAAAGGCUUAUGAGGAACGAGUUCAGGAUGAGGAUCAAAAGGACGAUCAAGGAAAGCUCCUAUAUACUAACACUGACUCUAAAGAGCAACCAGAGAGUUAUGGCAGAGGAAGAGGCCAGGGUGGUCGCUACAACAACAGAGGACGUGGAAGAGGACGGUAUAAUAACCGAACUAACUGGAGACAAAGAGGCGAAUGGACGCAAUGAAGGGAUGCAUCCAGAGUGGUGUGCUUUCGCUGUGACAAAACAGGACAUUAUGUCUAUGACUGUCCUGACCGUUUGCUUAAGCUCCAGGAGGCACAGGAGACUGAAAAUAAUGGCACACAUGAGGCUGAGGAGCUAAUGGUGCAUGAGUUAAUCUACCUUAAUGAAGAAAGGGUAGUACCAAGCAAGUUUGAGACACAAUCUGAAGAUGAUAAUGUUUGGUACUUAGAUAAUGGAGCUAGCAAUCAUAUGACGGGGAAUCAAGGCUACUUCACAAGUAUAGAUGAGUCUGUUACUGGGAAAGUGCGUUUUGGAGACGACUCAAGGAUUGACAUUAGAGGAAAAGGGUCGGUUCUAUUUCUUACCAAAGACAGAAAGCGGAAGUUCUUGGCUGAUGUGUACUACAUACCUGAGCUGAAGAGUAACAUAAUAAGUCUUGGUCAGGCAACAGAGUCUGGCUGUGAAGUCAAGAUGAAAUAUGAGUAUCUAACGCUUCAUGAUCGUGAAGGAAAUCUGUUAAUCAAGUCAGUAAGAUCGAAGAAUCGACUAUACAAGGUCACAAUGGAGGUUGAAGGAACAAAGUGUCUCCAACUAGAGAAGGUCAGUGACUCAGCUCUGUGGCACGCAAGACUUGGACACGUUGGUGUUGAUGCCAUGAGAACUAUGAGGAGCAAGGAGAUCAUCACUGGUAUGCCAAAGAUGAGUAUAGGGAGAGAAACGUGUGCCUCUUGUCUUAUGGGAAAGCAAACAAGAGCUUCUUUUCAUAAGGCUACGGCUUAUCGUGCCACAAAGAGUCUUGAACUUCUUCAUGGUGAUCUAUGCAGACCAAUCUCACCAUCAACAGCCGGAGGAAGUAGAUAUAUAUUUGUUUUGAUCGAUGAUCAUUCGAGAUACAUGUGGUCGAUUCUGUUGAGUGAGAAGAGCGAGGCUCUUGAGCGUUUCAUAAGGUUCAAGCUUCUUGUGGAAACAGAAAUCGGAGCUAAGAUUCAAACGUUGCGUACAGACAGGGGUGGAGAGUUCAUGUCUCGAGAGUUUCAAGCUUUCUGCGAGACACAAGGGAUUAAGCGACAUAUGACUGCGCCAUAUUCUCCUCAACAAAAUGGAGUCGUUGAGAGACGAAACAGGACUCUAAUGGAGAUGACUAGGAGUAUCAUGAAAGCUAUGAAGAUACCACACUACUUAUGGGGAGAAGCCGUGAGACAUUCAACUUAUCUGAUAAACAGGGUAACUACUCGAACACUAAAAGAUCAGUCUCCAUACGAGUGUCUCAAGAAGAAGAAGCCCAAUGUUGGACAUCUACGAGUAUUUGGCUGUGUGUGUUAUGCUAAAAGAGAUACUCCACACCUUAAGAAACUGGAUGAUAGGUCUAGAGAACUUGUACAUCUUGGAGUAGAACCAGGUUCGAAGGCUUAUAGAUUGUAUGAUCCGAGGAAUCGCAAGGUAGUGGUCAGUCGAGAUGUUGUUUUUGAUGAAAACAAGGCCUGGAGUUGGCACAAAGCUGAAAAAACGAGCUCUGGAAUAACGUGUGAGGUCACGUUUCCAACACAUAAUGAGGCAAUAGUCGCUGAACCCGAAACAGGAGAUAGUGAACGUGGAGAAGAUGAAGAAGAGAGUGACUGUGAGGAAGAUGUCGAGACAGAGGAGCUUGAAUCACCAAUACUAAGAAGAUCAAUGAGGACUAUAAAACCGCCGGGUUACUUUGAUGACUAUGUUCUUAAGGUAGAAGUGCUUGAGACAGAGAGACUCUUGUUGCUUAUCAAUGAAGAGCCAUGGGACUGGAAUGAAGCAAAGGUCGAGAAGGUUUGGAGGGAAGCUUGUGAAGAUGAGAUCAUGUCUAUAAAGAAAAACAAGACAUGGACACUUGUUGAGCUCCCUGCGGGAUGUAAAGCUAUUGGAUUAAAGUGGGUGUUUAAAAUUAAGCGCAAUGCAGAUGGGAGUAUAAGCAAGUACAAAGCAAGACUUGUAGCUAAAGGCUAUGUACAACGUCAUGGGAUUGACUACGAAGAAGUAUUUGCCCCUGUCGCAAGAAUAGAGACAGUUCGCGUUAUCAUUGCGUUGGCAGCGUCCAAUGGCUGGGAAGUUCACCACCUUGACGUCAAGACAGCAUUUUUGCACGGUGACUUAGCUGAGGAGGUGUAUGUGUCUCAACCUGAUGGAUUCAAAACAAAGGGGAGCGAAGAUAAAGUUUACAAGCUUCAUAAAGCUCUUUAUGGUCUGAAAAAAGCUCCAAGAGCUUGGAACAUCAAGUUGAAAUCUAUUCUUAAGGAGUUAAACUUCAGUAAGUGUUCAAAUGAGCCUUCUCUCUUUAAGAAAAAGACGCAUGGGAGAGAUCUGUUAGUUGCUGUUUAUGUUGACGAUCUUUUGGUGACUGGGUCAUGUGUGGAGAUCAUACAAGAGUUUAAGGCAGAGAUGGCGGAGAAGUUUGAGAUGACUGAUCUUGGAAGGCUCACCUACUAUCUAGGGAUUGAAGCAUUCCAGUCCGAGCUUGGCAUUGUGUUGAAACAAGAAAGGUAUGCGCUCAAGAUAGUAGAAGAAGCAGGGAUGAGUGAGUGUAAUGCAGUCCAAAUACCGAUGGACUCAGGCGUGAAGCUAUCCAAGGCAGAGGAAGAAGAAGACGUCAAUGAAACAGAGUUCAGGAAGAACAUUGGGUGUCUCAGGUACUUGAUUCAUACACGUCCUGAUCUUGCCUACAGCGUAGGAGUUCUGAGCAGAUAUAUGCAUAAUCCCAAGGUCUCACAUGCAGUGGCGUUAAAGCAAGUGCUUAGGUAUGUUCGAGGGAGCUGCUCUCACGGUUUGUUCUAUAAGAAAGAGAACAAUAAAGGCCUUGUAGGAUACAGUGAUAGCAGCUACAAUGUGGAUCCUAAUGAUGGAAGAAGCACAACCGGUUUUAUCUUCUACUUCAAUGAGUGCCCUGUGUCUUGGUGUUCGAUGAAACAAGAAAUUGUGGCUCUAUCUUCUUGUGAGGCUGAGUUCAUGGCAGCGACGGAGGCGGCUAAGCAAGCUAUAUGGCUUCAGGAGCUUCUAGGCGAGAUUGUGGAUGAGCCUAGCAAAGCAAUGAUACUGAUCGACAACAAGUCUGCUAUUGCCUUGACUAAGAAUCCAGUAUUUCAUGGUAGGAGCAAGCAUAUUCACAAACGGUUUCAUUUUAUUAGAGAAUGUGUUGAAUAUGGACUGGUGGCCGUGAAACAUGUAGCUGGUACGGAGCAGAAGGCUGAUAUCUUGACUAAGGCACUUGGAAUAUGUAAGUUCAAAGAGAUGAGAGACUUCAUUGGUGUUCAAGAAGUGAAGGAAGAAGACAUCAAGCUUAAGGGGGAGAAUGUUGACCUAACUUAAGCUUGAAGUUAUCUUGUUGUUAUCCUAAUGAGUUUAGGAUUUGAAUAUCUUGAGUUGUAGUUAUCUAGUUAAGUUUAUCCUAAUGAGUUUAGGAAACUAUGAGUUAGUAUAUAAGAAGCUAUCAUGAUGUGAUAGAGCUUAACGUGUGAUUGAGAGCUUUUAGUUUUUGAGACUUUCUAAAGGCAAUAAAAGAGUUCUUGAGUUUGGGAUUAUUAACUGUGAUUGUUGAGCUACGAUCAUAUCUUUGGUUUCAAUAAGCUUGGUGUCUGUAAUGGUUGAAGUGGACCGAAUUCUUAGACCACAAGGAACAUUUAUAGUAAAUAAUGGCAUGGAAAAGAUAGGAGAAAUUGAGAAGAUGAUGGAAUCACUGAAAUGGAAUGUAAGAAUGACACAUUCCAGAUAUGGAGAAGGAGUGAUCUCUGUUCAGAAGUCAUGGUGGCGUCCUACAGAGGUCGAGACCAUUACAUCGGCCAUAGCAAGUGAAAGAGAAUUGGUUUAAUAUAGUUUUAUGAAAAUGUUUCUUUUAUGAUCACGUUGAUUGUUUACAUUGUAUUAGGCCAAUAUGUGUAUCCUUUUUUGCAUUGACGAAAAUUGUAUACAAGACAUUGUCCCUAUAAUUUAUGCUUUUUAUAAGUUUUUAAUUUGGUCCUAAACACCCGUCACCCGUGGAAUAUUUAUACUACUGCAGCAAACUUAUAUAGACUGUCUAUUUGAAAUAUAGGUAUAUGAUGGGCUCAUGUUAAUUACAUCACCAAAGAACUCUCAAUAGAAAAAUAAACUAGAGCAAAAAGAAUUAUUAAAUUAAAAAAAAAUUGUAACCAAAUUUAAAAUAUAACUUAUUAAAUUCAAUAACCAAAUAUAGUAAAAUUGUUACUAUAAGAAAUAACUUAUAAAAUAAAUUCAAUGUAAAUUCUUAUACCAAAAAUUAAUCAAUAAAUCUUAUAUUAAAAAUUAUAAUUAGUUAUUCAAAUAACAUGGUUUUGUUUGGUGUCCAAAUAUAAUAGAAUAUAAAAAAUUCAAAUAAAUAUCUAUAUUUUUAAGUAGUAACAAUUGAUAUUAAGUUUUCAUGCUACCUACCUUAAAAUAUUUUUUUGUUAUAGGAAAAUAACAAAACAAUUUUCCAAAAAAUUAUAUAUCAAAAAUAAAUUCUAUUGUACAUAACUUACAGAAAAAAUGAUAAAAUAAAUAGUAAAAGUUGUUAUAAAAAUAGUGAAAUUAAUGUCACAUAUAAUUGAAAAUGAAUUAAAUUUUUUAAAAAUUACAUCAAAGUGGUUUUAAGGGUAAAAUAAGUAUUGUGAACACAAAAUAUAGGGUUAGUUUAUUUAAUUAAAUGUGAAUUUUUUUACAAAAUAAUAAAAUAAAAAUAUCAACCAUAAUUUAAUACAUAAAUGAAACUAAUAUAUAUACUUGCAUAGUCCAACAGAAGUCAUAAUGUAAAGUACCUAUAACUAAAUAAGUAACAGAAAUAAAAUUAUAUAACUUAUACUAAAACCAACAGAUUAAUAUAUAUAAUAAAUAUAGACACGUUUUCAUCGAUAAUCACAACAAUUACAUUAGAAAAUUUAUUCACCUAACGAAACUAACUUUGUGUCUUUUACAGUAAACGAGUUCAACCAAAAAGAAUGAUAAAUGUUUUUAAAAAAAUUAUAAAAUAACAUUUCAUACAUUAAUUAGAAUAAAAUAAUUUAAAUUAAAAACAAAUGUUAAGCAAAAUAUAAUUCCCGCAGGUGGAAUAUGAUGAGUCCAUGUAAAUAUUACAUAACCAUUAUUAAAAUAGGCGAUCUCCAUUAUAAAAAUGUACUAUUUGUAUUGACAAUUGAUAGAAUUAAAGAGAUGGAGAUGCUCUUAACAUGAAACAAUUUGGUUUUGGUUCGUACUCUAUUAUAUGUUCGCUUCAGUUUCAAAUGUAUUUUGUUAAAAAAAUUGUACAAUCAGUGAAGUUAUUGCCUUAGUCGAUAAUGUUUGGCAAUAAAAAUAUUAAACUGAUAACAUGGAGAUUCAUUAUAUAUAUCGACACAAAAUAAUGAAAAAAAUAAAUAAUAUAUAUAGUAGAAAGUCUAUAAAGUAAUACUCGGUAAAUGAAUAGACACAAUAAUUAAUAAAUUUUAGUUAUUUUCUAUUGGACAUAUGUAAAAUAUAACUGAAUUUGAUAAAAUAAUACUAACAUAACUUUAUAUAUAAAAAUUUUAUAUAAACAUAAACAAAUCAUCUUUUAAAAAAUCAAUUAAUCUUUCUUUCUUUUUAAAAAAAUUCACUAUUCUGAUGUUUUUAUUGAAUUACAAAGAAAAGACAUAUAUUAUCAUCAAAUUCAACACACAUUAUAUAUCAAAUAACUUAAAUAAGUAGAUAAAAAUUUUAAUUAACAUAUAGUAUCAUAAAGUUAUUUUCUUUGGAAGACAACAACCAUUAUUGUAAACAAACAAAAUAUAUCUUAUCACAUAUCAAUAUCUCACCUAAAACUUCCUGAAAGACGAAAAUCAUUAUCAUACACAUUUCUUGCAAAUGCAAACCUAAAAAACAAAUCACAAAAUCAUAUAAAAAUAAUAACCUAGAUCACAAGUAAAACAUAUCCCGCCCGUAGGGCGGGCCGACCCUAGUUAUAUAUUGUGAUCUCUUGGCUUUGUAAGAGACACAAUACUUUCAAUUUAUAAAACAGAAGCUUUGCUUUAAACCCUUGUUUUCGGCUAGAUCAUUGGUGAUCUCAACGCAAACAAGUUCGUAGGUUCUCUUGGGCCUUCUCAGACUAAACAGUUGAACUACAUCUAUUGAUUACUAUUGUUUACUCUAUCAGUUGGUAUCAGAGACACCUUUUAGAUUUUUCAAUCUAAACUGCGAUCAUGGCACCACGGAAACUUACGGACGAACAACUGGAAGAAAUUUGCCUCAUGCUUGAGACGUUUACUACCGGUUUGCAGAGCACUUCACAAACCUCUGUAACUACCGCUCUACAAGAAGUGUUACACGAUCAACAAGCUCAUCGCGAAGAUCAGGGAGUCAACCCUCAAAAUCAACAGCAACAACGCGAUGCUCAAGCCUUUGAUUCUGAUGAAAAAGAGAUGGGAGAGAACGUGUUCGCAGAGCACGGUCGCGACCAAAGGAUACGACGCAGAGGUCAACACAACGCUCGCAGUGAUGACAAUGAUCAAUGUCUACAGCAACCUUAUCGGUGGGAAACAAGUUUCCGAUCUGAGAUUCCAUAAUUUCAUGGCACUUUGAAUCCGGAGGAUUUCAUUGAUUGGUUGAACACAGUCGAGGAAACUCUCGAGUUUCGUCGAGUUCCUGAUAACGCACGAGUUCCAUUAGUGGUUACUCGCUUCAAGGGCCAAGCAAUGGCUUGGUGGCAGCAACUCAAGGAAUCUCGUCGACAAGCAAACAAGGCUCGUAUUAGUUCAUGGGAUCGUCUCACAAAACAUAUGCGUCGAGGUUACCUACCAUUCAACUAUGACUGAACCCUGUACAGCAAGUUACAAAACCUAAGGCAAGGGACACGCUCCGUUGACGAAUACACCAGAGAUUUCAUCUUCAUGACUUCAAGAAUGACUUCUGGUGAAACUCAACAGUAAUUGAUUUCACGCUUCAUCGGAGGACUCAGAUCUCAAUUGCAGGUGGCCUUGGCACAAUUCAACCCAACGACAGUUUCUGAAGCGCACCAACAAGCAAUCUCAAUGGAGCUCCAACUCGUUCUUCCUGGACUUCAACAUCAUGAAAUUGUUUCCAGCAGAACACAACAAACGACAACUCAGAACAGUCACCAGGAGAUGGAUCAGGGACAAAACCCGACAUGCAAAAACCGCCUAACAACGUAGAUACAAUUUCCAAUUCUCGUCCAGUUCGAACCAACGCUCUUCGUUGUUUCACUUGUGGAGAAAGAGGCCAUAUCCAAAGAGCCUGUCCUAACAAGACGAAACGAGGAGUUCUCAUCCAAGACGCAGACGACGAAGAACCACAUUAUGAUGAUGAUGGCGAGAACGACGAGGAUACCAUCGACAUACUGCAGGGAGAUACGGGUUUGAACUUGGUCUUGCGACGUAAUUGUCUCCUACCAAGGGCAACACACGAAUCUUGGAUUUGCACUAAUUUUUUUUGGUCGACAUGUACUAUCAACGGGCGAGUUUGCAAACUCAUCAUCAAUUCUUGAAGCUGCACCAACGUUAUAUCGUACGAGGCUACACAGAAAUUGGGUCUCUCCAUCAAAGCUCAUCCAUCACCCUACACCCUGGUGUGGCUCAACAACGGCACAGAAAUCAACGUCUCUAAACAGGUCGUGGUUUCCUUUUCCAUUGGACACUACAAAGACUCUACGACUUGCGACGUAAACCAAUGGACGCUUGUCAUUUGUUACUUGGGAGACCAUGGCAGUUUGAUCGGGAUGCUGUUCAUCGUGGAAAAGAAAACACAUAUAGUUUUGAGUUUGACAACCGUACGAUCACACUACUUCCGUCCAAGGAACAACCGGAGCCAAGCUUACGAGCGGAUACUAGCGCUACACCAGCCGACUCUCCAGGUGCAAAAACAUUAUUGACUCUUCCAAAGUACGGUUUUGAGAAACAAAUCAACGAUGCUGACAUUGUGUGGGCAUUAGUUGCCUCUUCUGCACCAGCCCCAAUGACUGAAGAACCCCCGGUAGCUUUUUUUCCAUUGCUUACCGAAUUCACUGAUGUGUUCCCCGCGGAACUCCCAAGUGAUCUACCUCCGUAAGAGACAACCAACAUCAUAUCGACUUGGUCCCCAACGCAGUCCUUCCUAAUAGACCACAUUAUUGCAUGAGUCCACAUGAACAUGACGAGCUUCGUCGACAGGUGGAGAAACUACUUCACAAAGGCCAUGUUUGGGAAAGCUUAAGUCCAGCAGAUGUGCCCGCUCUGCUAAUCCCAAAAAAGAUGGUUCGUGGCGUAUGUGUGUGGAUAGUCGUGCGAUUAAUAAGAUCACAGUGCGGUACAGAUUUCCAAUACCGCGUUUAGACGACCUUCUUGACCAAAUCGGCACAGCAACAAUGUUUACUAAGCUCGAUUUGAAAAGCGAGUACCAUCAGAUACGCAUACGACCUGGUGAUGAAUUGAAGACAGCGUUUAAAACUCGCGAAGGUCUUUUUGAGUGGACAGUAAUGCCAUUUGGACUCUCCAACGCACUGAGUACUUUCAUGGGAGUAAUGAAUCAAGCUUUACGGCCAUUUAUUGGAAAAUAUGUUGUCGUCUACUUUGACGACAUCUUAAUCUUUGGCCAUGAUUUACCUAGCCAUCUGGAACACUUGCGAACAGUGUUGGAGGUUCUUCGUCGAGAAAAGUUGUACGCAGCUCUCCAUAAGUGUGUUUUUGGGGUCGAUUAUUGAUACCACUCAAAUUACCCUAAGGAGUGUUCCUCUCAUCAAAAGAGGUUCAGAUGUAAUACUUAGGGAUCGAAUCCACAAGGAACUAGGGAACAAUUAAAUCUAAUAUUUAUUAAUUCUAAGGGUUAUAAAUGUUUAAAUGAGAUAGCAAUAGUAACAAGCAAAGUAACUAGUAAACGUAACUUGGUUGGAAAUGAUAUUAGAUGCAGGGCCACUAUUCAGGUGUUGGAGAUUAUAAUACCUAUAGAUGCCUAAUUGUUGCAUGCAUGAUAUAUUAGAGCUCAAUCGCUUAACUCAGUGAUCAGUUGUCGCAUGUUUCACUGGUUAACAUGCUAGAUCUCGUGUCUCAACGGUUAGUAUGUCGACAACGAGAGAGUGUCGAUCGAUGGUCCUAUUGGGAUGUCGACCGAUACACCUUUGCCAACGUCGAUCGAUAGUCAGUUGAGGAUAUUGAUCGACGGGUUCUAGCCAGGCCUAUGCGCGAGUAUGAAAUGCCCUAUUAAGAUACUAAAUUGGCGGUUAGCCCUCUCUAGCAGUCCUAAUAUGAUAGAUAGAUGUCAGGAUGGGAUAACAAGGGUGCUUGAAUAUGCAAUCCUAUGAUCAAGUUCUAGUUAGCAAGGCUAAAACAAGCAAUGAAUACAAAUCUAUCAUGAAUAUCCAACAAGGCAGAUCUAUAGUUUGGGGCUAAUCCCACAAACCUAUCUGAACCCUGGAUCUAAUAAUUGAACUACUCAGACAUAGCAAAGCAAUUCAUAAUAAUGAAGAAAUAGAAACUCAUAGUAUAGAUGAAAAAAAAAUUAUAACAAGGAGUUCCAAUCCUUCUCUCCAAAACUUGUAACAAAAAGGUCUCUACCAAAAAGCUCUUAUGCCAUCAAAACACUUAGGCAGUAUAUAAUCUACUAGGUUAAAAACUCGUCAGGGCAUUUUCGUAAUUUGGCUUGGCCAUGGGUUAAGUCUGCUGAAUCCAAAAUGUCGUGUGUCUGAUGUCUCGACAUCGAUCGAUGGUACUUGUGUACAUCGAUCGAUAUAAAUCUUCAUCUGUCGAGGCAUCUGUGGGAACCGAAAUUCGCACUGUCGAUUUCCGUUUAAAUAAGGAAACUAGGAAAACCCUAAUUUUCUAGAGGUCCCGGAUCACUGCGGGAGCCAACGACAAGUGACCAAAUAUAUGCGGAAAUUAUGAAAAGAUAACAAACGAGUUUAGGGAAAACAGUUGAUCUUAUUUCGAGUCCGCGUAAGAGCGUUGCGAUCAUUACCAGAGAUCAUGAAAGCUUUGGCCGCAAAGGCUGUCAGCGAGUUACUUAGUUCUAGCGGCCUAAUAGCUCAAACCUAGUUGAGUCGCAGCUCGAUAACGAAAGACGAAAUACAUAAAGAAAAGGUUUUUGAUUGAUUUUGGACUGAACCUUGUUAAAGGCUGCCUACGUACCCCUUUCGAGGAUCAAGCCGAACGUAGUUCAAUUGAUAGAGCUGGACAAUAGAUCGAACUGCCUGGGCGAGUUCGUCUAGUAAUCGAGUGCCAGUCAUAGAAACCGAACUUGUCGAGAAUAAGCCUAAAGUUUCUAAGUGCAGAGAAUUCCGAGUCUAAAAAGCUCUCUCCCAUGCUCCUCGCCUAGGACUCCUUAUAUACUAGCUCCAAGGUCGGUUUACGCUUUUACUCUUCUGCCCUUAAGCCGUCAUAGCAUAAAAAUGGAGAUAUUCCAUUUUUCCCGAUCUUCACAAUUAUCUUCAAAACUUCCGUAUUUAUCCGCGGAAACUUGACAUUUAUCCUUCCUUGAGCGCCAAGCGUAAACCGUCAUACGGUUUAUGGGCUUUUGGUUAAGAAAUCGUAAGUUGGGCCUCGAGUCGUGUCUUAGGUCCCUUUGGGCCGUCUUCCGACUCGAAACGUUUAUUACGACUUCUUUCGAUAAAGAAUGAACUUUCCGCGGUUUUUACCGCAAAGUUUGAUUGAUGUCUUAGAAUGGUCGGAAGACAUGAACUGAGUUCGCUACGGUCUUCGGGAGAUAGCAUCGUACGAUAGACGAGAAUGCUUGAAUUGGUGUUGUAUCGAUGUUUCGGAAGAGUUCGGUCGCUUCGUAACGACCGAACAGCACGGACGCUCGGUCGCUACGUAGCGACCGAGCGAGAUGGACGUAGCGACCGAGCGGGACGGACGCUCGGUCGCUACGUAGCGACCGAGCUGUGUGCAUGCUUGGUCGCCGCGUAUCGAUCGAGCUUGGCUUGUCCGCGGUCUGAUUUCCAUACUCGAGCUUGUCCGCGGCCGAUUUGGAUACAUGUCCGUUGCCUUCGGACAAUCGGUAUUUAGUGGUUCGAUUGAGAUUUGGACGAUAUUUUACUGCAAGGCUCUUCGUAAAGAUAUCUUUACGAAGAUUACUUUUCGUAAAAACGUUUAUGCUGAUUUUUACGGACUUUCAGACAUUGAUUCCGUCGUGACCGAUUUUGACCCCAACAGUUAGCCCCCCAGCUCGUUAGAACCAUGAGCUUCUAGCGUGAGUUUCUAGCGAGUGGCUUGGCAAUUUAGGCAAGUUAGGUGAGUUAGGCGGAAUUAAUGGUUGAAAAGGUCUGUGGUAAGUGAUCUUCUCGCUCUCCUAAAAGUAGAAAACGCGAUAAGAUUGGGGCUGCGCCUUAUGACGGCUGCCUACGUACCCUUGUUGAAGGGAUCAAGCCUUUCGUAGUUCGUCUUGGAGUGAAGGUUCUUAUGACUAGUUUUCCAGUAGGACCUUUAUGGUCUAGUUUUUAUGUAGCGGUUAUAAGGCGUGUUGCUGCCGAUGGCAUUUUGUAUGGGUGUAGAGGGAAGACUACGAGUUGUCGUCUCGUAAUCUAACUCUGUGUGAAUUGCCAUAUCCAUAAUCUGUUUCGAGAGUUUUCUGCAGUGUGUAAACUUGCGGGAUUUUCUGAAGACGUUCGAACAUUGGCAAAGAGACAAAUUUUGGGAUCUUGUAUCAGAGUGUUUGAUACUAUGCCUAGAGAUGUUAGAGACCAGUGCGCUGGGUUUAGGGCAAGACCUAGGUUUACUUUCGGUUUAAGGAUUGUGCGGUGACUGGCCGGCUAUCAUUUUUCCUGUUACGAUUUCUUCCUGAUUCGUAUCGAUUUAAAGUCCGCGAUAGGUUCUCGGCUUAUACGACUUGUUUGAUACGAAUCGAGCAUCUCUCCGGAGACCGGAAGUGCUGGACCAAAAUUUCGGAUUUCUUUUAUAGCGCUAUUAUCCUUGUGUCGGAUGUAAGAGAGUCAUCUUCGGGAGAUGGUUAUGUCUGUUUAGGACGUUGAGAGUUUGUUGUGAUCAGCAACAAACUUAAUGGUAAAAAAAUUACCGUUUCGAGUCUUCGCGAAGAAUAUUUUUUGAGAAGAUGUUAGUGCGUAUGACUGUUUGGUCUUCCAUGAAGGUAUUUUUAUCGAGGAAGGAAAUUUCGUCGAAGAACUAAUCUUCAGGCGUCUGCGACGUCUCGCGAUGCUGAAGAUUUGUUAUUCUUUCGUAUGCCACGUUUCGUGCUUGAAAUGUUCGCGGGCUUGAAGAUAUUUCGCGAUGUUGCAAGGGUUUAGUCUUAGCCAUGCGUUUGAAAAACAUUCUAGUUUGACUACGAAUGUUCGCAGCCAAAAUUGUUGUUCAUGUUUGGAUGCUAAUAGUUUUAUUUGCGAUUGAGGAAUGAUGACUGAGGUGUCGUGUAAAUUUGUCCAUGGGAACAAGCGUUUUCCUUCAUAGUGCUUUGUGAAGUGUUGGCCUUCCGAGAUGUAUUUCGUGCAUUUUUUAGGAUGUUUCGUAUAGCUCUAGAAGCUUUGUUACGAAUUUUUCCUUACAUGCCGCGUAUUAUGGUUAAAACGGUGCGGGCUUAAAGUGAAUUGUGGAGCGUAUUGAACUUGGUCAAUUUUCGAAAAGUUUAGAUUUUCCGUUAACCGUUUGGUUGUUAGGACUUAGUUUCGUUACGAAGAAUUUAUCAUAUGAUUUCCGACUGUGGGCUAUACGAUAAUUUAUCAUAUCAUAUCACCGAUUUUACGAAGGUCGUAAAUCAGUGAUAUGUAUACAUAUGUCAAAGCAGCAUUGUUUCUGCGGGUUUUACGAGAAACGUUCCCGCUGUGAUUUUGAUCUUAGGUGAAAGUUGCUUGGAGUUACUCAUGGAGUACUACCGAAGUUUAUUUCAAUACGAUCUAGUCGCGGAGCGUUUUUCAUAGGUUUUUCGAGAGGAUUCUCAUGACACAUUCGUUUCUUGAACGAAUUGGUCAACCAGAGGUGGAUCUAGCUAACCAUCGGGAGGAAAGUGAUCCAUUUAAUGUGCACGAUGCUACAUAUAUUCUCGAGUUUUCUUUGUCGCAAAUGUUUUCGAUGCUUUUCCGUGACUUACUUGGUAUAUGUCGGUUCCGAGAAAAUUGCCAGAAAUGAAUCGGUUUUACGACGACGUUCAUGUCUCUAACUUUUUCUCUCUUUAGGAAGCGAGCUUGAUAUGCGUGGCGAUCGUUUCUCGACUUUCGAAGAGUUUAGAUCGGUUUGCAAGAUCUGGAUGAACAAUUAUGAACAAUAUAUCGAGACAGGAAAAAUCGCUUAAAACUUAGUUCGCUAGACUAUCCGCCUAGGUUUUACGUUCCCUAAAGUUCUAUGGCAGCCUCAAAGUAAUUUCCUACGAAAAUUACAAAUCUGAUUUCAAAAAUUUCAAGUCGGAAAUACCUUAGUUCUCUCGAAGAUGCAGUUUUGUCCCUUCUUAGUUUUGCGUGCUCAUUUCCGUUUCCUAUUCUCGUGUAUGUUCACCAUUUUCGAUAUUGGUGUUUAUCCUUUGAAACUUGACAUUAUCUUUCGAACUUGACUGUUAUCUUCUCCUUAGAUAAGACGUCGAUUUUGGUAAAAAGGUUCAACGUAAUCGUAUAGUUAAGGCGGCUAAGGUGUUAAGUUAACCGUUGCCGUUUUAUACGAUUAAUCUGAAUCCAUGCGAGGAAACAUGUCUUUGCGGUUUUUUUUUUGUAUCAUGAAGUCUCAAUGGUAACUUCAAUCGAGGCGAAACAAGAGACGUUUCGAUCAAGAUUCGAAAGUGAACGCAAAGAUGGAGGUAGGGCGAGCAGGAACAAGCCAAGGAGUCUUAAGAUGAGUUUUACUUGUUUUUGUCGUAAAUUCUCGAUGGAAACUCCGAUUGAGACGAAACGAAAAGCGUUUCGAUGAGGAUUCAAAGGAGAACGUAAAGGAGGACCCCUUUGAGGCCUGACGGGUUGCUAUAGCGAGUGAGGAUGUCAUCUCGGUCGCUAUAGCGAGUGAAAGGGAGCCGAGACGAGUCCAACUUGUUUUCGUCGUAAAUUCUCGACGGAAACUCCGAUUGAGACAAAACGAAAAGCGUUUCGUUGAGGAUUCAAAGGAGAACGCAAAGGAGGACCCCUUUGAGGCCUGACAGGUCGCUAUAGCGAGUGAGGAUGUCAUCUCGGUCGCUAUAGCGAGUGGAAGGGAGCCGAGACGAGUCCCACUUGUUCUCGUCGUAAAAUCUCAACGGAAACUCCGAUUGAGAUGAAAAGAAAAGCGUUUCGAUGAGGAUUCAACAGAGAACCCAAAGGAGAACCUCUUGGAGGCCUUAGAGGUCGCUACGUAGCGACUGAUGGUCUGACAGGUCGCUACGUAGCGAGUGGAAGCAAGCCAAGAAGAGUCCUACUUGUUUUCGUCGUAAAAUCUCAACGGAAACUCCGAUUGAGACGAAACGAAAAACGUGGCGAUGAGGAUUCACAAGAGAACCCAAAGGAUGACCUUCCCGAGGCCUUACCGGUCGCUACGUAGCGACUGACGGCCUGACAGGUCGCUACGUAGCGAGUGGAAGCAAGCCAAGAAGAGUCCUACUUGUUUUCGUCGUAAAAUCUCAACGGAAACUCCGAUUGAGACGAAACGAAAAACGUGGCGAUGAGGAUUCACAAGAGAACCCAAAGGAGGACCUUUCUGAGGCCUUACCGGUCGCUACGUAGCGAGUGGAGAGUUGGCAUGAGCUCGGUUGCUACGUAGCGACCGAGCGGUGUGCGUGCUCGGUCGCUACGUAGCGACCGAGCGGUGUGCGUGCUCGGUCGCUACGUAGCGACCGAGCGGUGUGCUCUCGAGCCCAGGCUUAUACCUUGUUGUAAACGCUCAUACGCAGAUUGGGAAUAAGAUCUACUUUGCUCUUUUUUUUCGAUUUCUUAUUCUUAUCGUUGUUAUUCUCGUGUUCUGAUUGCUUGACGUGUGGUAAUUAGCAGAUAUCCGGGUCCUCUGGGAAACUAGGGUUUUCUUAGUUUCCUUAUUUAAACGGAAAUCGACAGUGCGAAUUUCGGUUCCCACAAUAUUCGACAUCUUGGGUCCUCUGGGAAAUUAGGAUUUUCCUAGUUUCCUUAUUUAAACGGAAAUCGACAGUGCAAAUUUUGGUUCCCACAGUUUGGCGCUAGAAGGAGGGGGGAUACGGAUCAAUCUAACCCGCAAAGUCACUCAACGAUCAGAAACGAUAUGCAAGACUCGACGUGCGCGAACGUCAUCUCAUUCAAGGGGGGAGCAACGAUAGAUCGGGCCAAACCUCGAAACGAUCUCCUUGUCAUCGAGUUGACGAUUCGAGAUAUCGACGUCGCUAGGGUGCUGAUCGACACCGGUAGUUCGGCCGAUAUCAUCUUCAAAGAUACUCUCGAAAAAAUGGGGAUCAAUCAAUCCGAAGACACGAAAUACCCAAUCCUACUGCUGGGACUUUUGGGGGAAACAACCAUGGCCUACGGAUCGAUUAAUCUCGCUGUCAAAGCCGGAACCGUGACGAACGUCACAGAGUUUCUAGUCGUUGACCGUCCCGCAUCUUACAACUUUAUCAUGGGGACGCCAUGGCUGAACGCCAUGCGCGCAAUCCCAUCAACAUACCAUCUUUGCCUCAAGUUCCCGACCCCUAACGGAGUCGAGGUAAUAUGGGGAAAUCCGAGAGUCUCACAGGUUUGUUUCGCCGCCGAACUGAAACGAAAAAGACCGAUCCUUGAGAUCACUCCUAGAAAAGUGGAGGACAAGACCUCCAGCAAAGAUACACGAGGUCAGGAUUCAGCGGAACUCUUCUGGCAAUCUCGCAGCAUCGCAACCCUAGAAGAAAAACGCGAGCCAACAUGCGAACCCGUGGUAACGAUCUGUCUCGACGAAGCCUUCCCGGAACGCUGCGUCGAGAUUGGAGUCAAUCUCCGCGAGCCUUUAAGAACAGAGCUCAUAGCCUGUCUUAAAAAGAACCUCAAUACUUCCGCAUGGGCUGCAGAAGAUUUGUCGGGGAUCGACAUUAACAUAACAUGUCACGAGCUGAAUAUCGACCCAACAUUCAAACCCAUCAAGCAGAAAAGGCGGAAGCUAGGACCCGAACGUGCUGCCGCAGUAAACGAUGAGGUCGAAAAAUUGCUUAAAGUUGGGUCGAUAACAGAAGUAAGAUACCCAGACUGGCUUGCCAACCCUGUAGUAGUCAAAAAGAAAAACGGGAAGUGGCGAGUUUGCGUGGAUUUUACCGACCUAAACAAAGCAUGUCCAAAGGAUAGCUUCCCUCUACCACAUAUCGAUCGAUUGGUAGAGGCAACAGCGGGCAACAAACUUUUAUCCUUCAUGGAUGCCUUCUCAGGUUAUAAUCAAAUUAGGAUGAAUCCUGACGAUCGCGAGAAGACUGCGUUCAUUACCGAUCGCAGAACUUAUUGCUAUAAGGUAAUGCCCUUCGGCCUCAAAAACGCCGGUGCAACUUACCAACGACUCGUAAACCGAAUGUUCUCUAAACAACUCGGAAAAACGAUGGAGGUUUAUAUCGACGACAUGCUCGUCAAAUCCCUCAAAGCAAAAGAUUACGUGUCACAUCUCGAAGAGUGUUUUGCGCAAUUAAAUUCCCAUAACAUGAAGCUCAACCCGACAAAAUGUAGAUUCGCCGUAGCGUCAGGGGAAUUCCUCGGCUAGCGGAAACCGACCUCGGAGCUAGUAUAUAAGGAGUCCUAGGCGAGGAGCAUGAGGGAGAACUUUUUCAGAGCAAACUUAGCACUUAGAGCAAUUUAGGAAAUUUUCCGGUUUUGUUAUUUCGAGCUGCGACUCAAUUAGGUUUAGCCGUCUUAGGGUUACUAGAACUAGGAAUCUCGCCGACAGCUCUCGAGCGCAGGCUUAUACCUUGUUGUAAACGCUCAUACGCAAAUUAGGAAUAAGAUCUUCUUUGCUCUCUUUUCGAUUUAUUAUACUUUAUCGUUGUUGUUCUCGUGUUCUGAUUGCUUGACGUGUGGUAAUUAGCAGAUAUCCGGGUCCUCUGGGAAAUUAGGGUUUUCCUAGUUUCCUUAUUUAAACGGAAAUCGACAGUGCGAAUUUUGGUUCCCACAAACGGACUGAAGAAACGCUUAGAGGCCAAAAAAGGCAGGAGGGCCGACGAACUCGAGGGAGUCCUCUGGUCUCACCGUACCACCCCAAGGCGAGCAACGGGAGAAACUCCCUUCGCUCUGGUAUACGGCACGGAAUGCAUGAUUCCCGCAGAAGUAGAGACUCUCAGUCAGACAUGUCAAAUAACGACGCGGAUAACGUGCAAACUUCUCUUAACGGAGGCAGCGGCACCGAUCUCCACACUCCAGUAGCGGACGUAUCCGCGGCCAACGCACAAGCCAACGCCGCGACGCUCGAGGAGUUUAAAAAGAUGUUCGCCACCUAUGAGAAAAUGUCGGAAGAACAGGAUAAACUCGUGAAUACCUUCACCAAACAGGUUGAAACCUUAACGGCAAGGACCCAAGCAAUCCGUCCCCGCGGAACCACCAAAAUCCACGGGAAGAGGCUCGACUUCGCCACCCCACUCGAUAGAACAGGAGUCGCGCGGGAACGACCUUCCGGUCAAAAUCCUAGCGAGAAAUCUCCCAUCGAAAAGGGGAACCCUGAAAGUCUUCCGCCCCCUGCAAAGGACUCGGAGGAUAACGAAGCCGAACACAUUGACCUGGAUCCUAGCGAUGUCUCCAACGACACCGACGAGGAUGUCGACAGACAUCCAAGAAGGACCAGAAGCCGAUCCGCUCGGGAAGGCUCUCCGUUCGAAAAACCAAUGACGGAAGAAGAGGAAAUCGCCUAUUGGAACGAACAAGAGGAGCUGGCUGAAAAGCAAACCGAGCUCACUCGCAGUAAACGCCGACAAGCUCGGAAAUCCACUGACGAGACACUGGAUAUCCGCGAUCUUCGUGACUACAUCACCAAGACUGCGGCAGAAGUGAGAGCCGUAAAGUCUCAAAUCCAUCAUGCUACUAGUGCUGCCCCCGAGAUCGAUUGACUGCUGGAAGGAGCUCGAAAGACCCCCUUUACCAGUCGCAUUUCAGACAUGAGGGUGUCCGAUCCGGGAAAAAUCAAAGUACCGAAGUACGAUGGUACGGCCGAUCCAAAAGCGCACCUUCAGGCUUUCCACAUCGCGAUGGGAAGAGCAAGACUGAAGGACAGCGAAAAAGAUGCCGGCUAUUGCCGCCUGUUCGUCGAAAAUCUUGAAGGAGCAGCGCUCGAAUGGUUCGCACGGCUUCGUCGCAACACCGUCGGGAGUUUUCGACAGCUCGCAUCGGAAUUUCUCAAACAGUACUCUGUAUUCAUAGACAGAGAAACUUCCGAUGUUGACCUCUGGAGUCACUCCCAGAGGGAAGACGAACCCCUCCGCGAGUUUAUCAGUCGGUUCAAGCUGAUAAUGUCCAGGGUCAGCGGGAUAAGCGACAAAGUGGCCAUCGACGCGCUGAGAAAGAUGCUCUGGUACAAGUCGAAAUACAGAAAGUGGAUAACUCUCGACAAACCGCGAACGAUCCAGGACGCCCUCCACAAAGCGACGGACUACAUAAUAGUCGAGGAAGAAACUAAAGUCUUAUCGCAAAAACAUAAGGCGGCAAGACCAUCCUCGAAAGACGUGGAUCCGAAAGGGAAAAAAGAAGAACUCUCGUAACGACAAUUACGUCCAUCACGAGGGGGAAUAUCUUCAAGGGGCGCAUAACUAUGCGAUCAAUUCGGAUCAAGGCCGGACCACGGGCAACACAUGGACUCGCAAUCAAGGGUAUGACGAAAACACCUUCUGCGAGUUCCACCAAUUCCGAGGACACUCCACGACCAACUGCAAAGUCUUGGGAGCAAGACUGGCCGCGAAGCUACUCGCUGGAGAGCUCUCGGAAGUAACUAGCGUCAAGGAUCUCAUCCUCGAUUCUGAUUGUCCUCCAAAGACGGACAGAAAUCGCAAGCUGAAAAAUCCCCUCAACGAACCCAACCUGGGGAUAAACGCGGUAGGAGGCCGGACGACAAGGGGAACGAUAACAAUCGUCGCAGAGUCAAUAUGAUCAUCGGAGGAUCACAAUACCGCCGAUACCGUGUCGGCCAUCAAGGCUUACCAACGGAAGGCAAAGUCGAGUGCAAAUUGGCCUACAUGGUCUCCUCCUCGAGAUGACAAAAAUUGCUCGAUCACCUUCACAAAGGAAGAAGCCGGCGGUAUCGACCAACCUCACUGCGACCCGCUCGUCAUAGAUCUCGUCAUACGAGAUUUAGAAGUCAGAAGGGUACUCGUCGACACAGGAAGUACGGUCAACGUAAUUUUCCGCGACACUCUCAAGCGGAUGAGCAUCGAACUCGGAGAAGUAAUUCCGACGCCAAAACCGUUCAUGGGUUUUUCAGGCGAAGUAUCGAUGACUCUUGGAUCGAUCCAAUUGCCAGUCAUGGCCAAGGAGAUCACGAAAAUCGUCGAGUUCGCGGUAGUCGAUUAUCCCGCUAUCUACAACGUGAUCAUGGGAACCCCAUGGCUCAACGCCAUGCAGGCAGUUCCGUCAACCUACCACCUGGGUCUCAAAUUCCCAACGCCAAGCGGAGUCGCGGCCAUCUGGGGAUGCCAAAAAACGGCAAGCGCACGAAGAUAGACCGAUCUUCGGCCAAAAGCGCCCCAGGAAAAGAUGAAUUAAAAUCGUCUACCGACGCAAACGCAUCGGACGUCGAAGCUCGACACAAGUCCGAAGCCCACGCUACAACUCAACCGGAACAUCCGGAAAAUAGCGUUGACCCAACCACGAUCGACACGGUCAAGGCGGACAUCGCAACAUCUACCGCCGAGUAAGAACACUCGCGACAUGAAACAGAACUACGAGAUGGCUUGAUUCUCGAAAGGGGUACGUAGGCAGCUCGUCAAAAGACGAGUUCAGCUAUCCCCCUCUCUAAAAAGGGGGGGNNNNNNNNNNNNNNNNNNNNNNNNNNNNNNNNNNNNNNNNNNNNNNNNNNNNNNNNNNNNCCCCCAAAAAAAGGGGGGGGGGGGGGAGUGGGUGCGUAUACUUGUAUACUCCCACUUAGAAAAAUCUUCUUUAUUGUAAUCGAGUUUUUAGAAACUUUAAAAACUUUUACUACAAUAUACGUUGUUCUUUUUAUCGAAAACGUUUACGCUUCAGUAAAACACAAAAGAAACUUUCAGGACACGCCUGGAAACAUUAAGACUCUUGUCUGCGGCCUCAUCCGGCCCAAAAAAUCAUCUUUCAAACACGCAUAGAUACACGUAUAAUCCCCGAAACAACUGCGAGACGUCGCAAAAGUUAAAAUUCGAGGAUAAUACUAACAAAUUGUCCGAACGCGACCACCAAAACCUUACACCCCGUUCGUCGAUUGGCCCCGACGAACACGCUAGCCGUCUUAAACAAACGCAAUUCGAUCACUCUUUUGAUCUUCAAAACGUCCAGCACAAGGACAAAAGCGCGCUACAACAAAAACCCGAAAUUUUGGUCUAGCACUUCCAGUUGACUCUGAGAAGAUGCUCGAUUCGUACCAUACAAGUCAUAUAAGCCGAAAACCUAUCGCGGACUUUAAACUGGUGCGAAUCAAGAAGAAAUCGCAACAGGAAAAACGAUAGCCGGCUAGUCACCGCACAAACCUUAACCGAAAGUAAACCUAGGUCUUGCCCUAAACCCAACGCUCUGGUCUCAAACAUCUCAAGGCAUGAUAUUUAAAAGAUACGAGAUCCUAAACCAUGUCUCUCUGUUCGUAUCUCAAUGUUCUCGAAAAUCGUAAAGAUAAGUAAAUUUUUACGAAAAUCACGAACGAACCAACAGAUUGAACGUCUAAUCAGAACUAAAUACGAGACGACAACUCGUAUUUACUUCGACCCUACUCAGGAAAACUCGAAACGAAACAUUCAUCAUAUAAAUAAACCGCGUAAGGCGGUAAGGGUUUCAAAGCCACCAACGGCCAGUCCCGGUAAAUACAAAUACGGCCAUCUAGGCCUAAGCAAAAUCCAAAGGCCACACUCAGCCAUAAACAUAAAAUAGAAAGACGAACAUCUUUCUUUCGAUAUUUACUCCACCGCUCAUAAUCCAAAGUCAAAGUCCCCGGUAAACGAAGCACCGAACACAUCCGCGGGACGAUCCACUUCCUCGCCACCAUUGGGAAACCCGGUCGAAACCUCCUCGGUAUCAGGGGAAACCGGGAUGGAAUCCCAGAACCCUUGAAUCCGCUCGUCGAUCGGAGGGAUAAGCGCCUCAGCGUGGGCACGUUCAUUCAUCCCACUUUUCAUCAAGCUCAUUUCCUCCUCGAACACAUAGUCAUCGGCUCGCGUCCUCUAAAGACUUCCGACCGAACCGCGGCACUCACGGAAAUCAUCCACCGAGGUAAAGGCGUUCUUGAGGUUCCCAUACUCAACCUGGAAUUGAGAGGCACGAGUCUUCAUCACCUCGACGAUUUCUCUUUUGCCUUUCCUUUCCGCCUUACGGACAGCCCGCGCAUGAUCACGAGUAAGUUGCACUUCUCGCUCCAAAAUCUCGCCUUGCACGCGAGCGAGAUCUCGUUCCGCUUUCUCUGCUUUGAAACGAUAGAUCAUAGCCUCCCUAUGACUCGCUUCAAUGGCCGAGCCAAGCAAGUUAAGGCCCUGCGAAAUCAAUUAACGCAUUGUAAGCAGAAAAAGAAAAACCUAGGCAAUCACGAAUAUUUUCGAAAAAAUCAUACCCCGUUGAUGAUUCGGGACCCUUCCGCGAUGACUUUUGGCCUCGCCGACUCUUUCGCAGGUGGAGGAGCAUCAAAACCCGGUGGCAGACCGGCAAAGAAAUCAUCAAAGUCCGGGAUAGGGGCCUCGCUCGAGCCACUCCCAUCGCCAUAAGCUAGGUUCGGAUCCCAUCCUGGAAGCAUAGAGUCAUCCAUCGAAAAUUCUAUGUCGCCAAGGUCGAUAUCUUUUCCCUUCCAAGAGCUCGACUCCGGCACGGCUAUUGGGGCUACAGCAGAACUCUGGUCAUCAGGUUCAGAGUCGCUUCCCGUAUCCGCAACCGAGGCAGGACCAUGGUGCACGAACCUCAGUGCCCUCUGAAUCCUCUUCGGCGUAAAGGAAGUCCAAAAGAAGGGACCAUUCCUAAGAAGAUCCCUCACCUCAAUAAUGUCCUCAGGGAACGGAGCAAGAGGAUUGAUGAAAGGAUGAUCGUUCGGCAACCUUCGGAACAGUGGAAUGCAACUCUCUUCGACAGACGCAGCGUCUAUACGAACAAAGAAGAAAAACCUCUUCCACGAGUUGAAGUUCGAAAUGAACUUCUUAACCACUGACAUAAACUUCCGAGGGACCAGCCUAUGCUUGUCCGUAUCUUUGACGAGUUCAAGCCUCAAAAGCAUUUCAAAAUGAUCGACGGAAAGGGAAAGGCCAUGCUCUCGUAGCUCAGAAUCAGGAUCCCGAUAAGAUGCUGAAUGGCGAGGGGGGUCAACUGGCUUAUCGCAACCGCGAAACGGUCCAAUACUCGGACGAGGAUUUCGGGGAUUGGGAACCAUAAGCGACAACGCACUACGAACGCCUCGUAGCAAGUGAAGUAACCCUCUGGGGGGCUGUUAGCACAUUCUCCGGGGUAGGGAACCCGGAACUCCACAGCAUCCGGGAUAUGGUAGAACGAUUGCAUGAUCGCGAGAAACUCGUCGGUACUCCUGCUCGGAUACUCUUUCUCGACCCCACGAUGGGUCAGGACCGGGAACGACUUCUCUUUGGGAGGAAUCAUCGAACCAUAAUGAGCAACCCACCAUGCCUCAUUCUCGGCGGGAUGUACCGAGUGAGGCACGAACUCCAUCUUUGGAACAAUGAGCUCUUCAUAAGCACUCGCGGACGAAGACCCUUUUUUCGCAAUCUUUUUCUUGCUCGACAUCUUUACACUUCUCUUGAGAAAAUAGAGGAAAAGGGUGGAGAGAAAGAAAGAAAUUUUUUCUUAAGAAAGAUCUUAGAGAAAGACAAGAAAGUGAAAAAAUUAUGAAACAAGUUACCUCCCUUCUUAUAGGCAUGAGGAUUUACUAUUCAAGCUCGGACUUUCGGAUAUUAAUUCCAUCCAACACGCCUAACUUNNNNNNNNNNNNNNNNNNNNNNNNNNNNNNNNNNNNNNNNNNNNNNNNNNNNNNNNNNNNNNNNNNNNNNNNNNNNNNNNNNNNNNNNNNNNNNNNNNNNNNNNNNNNNNNNNNNNNNNNNNNNNNNNNNNNNNNNNNNNNNNNNNNNNNNNNNNNNNNNNNNNNNNNNNNNNNNNNNNNNNNNNNNNNNNNNNNNNNNNNNNNNNNNNNNNNNNNNNNNNNNNNNNNNNNNNNNNNNNNNNNNNNNNNNNNNNNNNNNNNNNNNNNNNNNNNNNNNNNNNNNNNNNNNNNNNNNNNNNNNNNNNNNNNNNNNNNNNNNNNNNNNNNNNNNNNNNNNNNNNNNNNNNNNNNNNNNNNNNNNNNNNNNNNNNNNNNNNNNNNNNNNNNNNNNNNNNNNNNNNNNNNNNNNNNNNNNNNNNNNNNNNNNNNNNNNNNNNNNNNNNNNNNNNNNNNNNNNNNNNNNNNNNNNNNNNNNNNNNNNNNNNNNNNNNNNNNNNNNNNNNNNNNNNNNNNNNNNNNNNNNNNNNNNNNNNNNNNNNNNNNNNNNNNNNNNNNNNNNNNNNNNNNNNNNNNNNNNNNNNNNNNNNNNNNNNNNNNNNNNNNNNNNNNNNNNNNNNNNNNNNNNNNNNNNNNNNNNNNNNNNNNNNNNNNNNNNNNNNNNNNNNNNNNNNNNNNNNNNNNNNNNNNNNNNNNNNNNNNNNNNNNNNNNNNNNNNNNNNNNNNNNNNNNNNNNNNNNNNNNNNAAGUUUCCGCGGAUAAAUACGGAAGUUUUGAAGAUAAUUGUGAAGAUCGGGAAAAAUGGAAUAUCUCCAUUUUUAUGCUAUGACGGCUUAAGGGCAGAAGAGUAAAAGCGUAAACCGACCUCGGAGCUAGUAUAUAAGGAGUCCUAGGCGAGGAGCAUGAGGGAGAACUUUUUCUGAGCAAACUUAGCACUUAGAGCAAUUUAGUCAAUUUUCCGUUUUUGUUAUUUCGAGCUGCGACUCAAUUAGGUUUAGCCGUCUUAGGGUUACUAGCACUAGGAAUCUUGCCGACAGCUCUCGAACCCAGGCUUAUACCUUGUUGUAAACGCUCAUACGCAAAUUCGGAAUAAGAUCUUCUUUGCUCUCUUUUUCGAUUUCUUAUACUUUAUCUUUGUUAUUCUCGUGUUCUGAUUGCUUGACGUGUGGUAAUUAGCAGAUAUCCGGGUCCUCUGGGAAAUUAGGGUUUUCCUAGUUUCCUUAUUUAAACGGAAAUCGACAGUGCGAAUUUUGGUUCCCACAAACGGACUGAAGAAACGCUUAGAGGCCAAAAAAGGCAGGAGGGCCGACGAACUCGAGGGAGUCCUCUGGUCUCACCGUACCACCCCAAGGCGAGCAACGGGAGAAACUCCCUUCGCUCUGGUAUACGGCACGGAAUGCAUGAUUCCCGCAGAAGUAGAGUUCCCCGGUGUUCGAAGAAGGUUAUUACCCGAAUGAGAGAAACUCAACGAUGCUAUGCUCUUGGAUGAUCUCGACCUCAUUAACGAGCGCCGAGAUCGAGCGCUCAUUCGAAUCCAAAAUUACCAGCACGCCGCUGCAAAAUACUAUAAUUCCAACGUACGAAAUCGUUGGUUCAAUCAGGGAGAUCUGGUCCUUUGCAAAGUCUUCCAAAAGACCGCUGAACGAAACGCGGGAAAACUCGGAGCAAACUGGGAAGGUCCCUAUAAAAUCGAAAAAGUCGUCCGACCAGGUUCUUACGAAAUAGCCAACAUGCAAGGCAUAAAAAUUCCUAGAACCUGGAUUGCGAUGCAUCUCAAAAAAUACUAUCACUAAACAAACCAACUCGCAAUCACUGAACUACGAGACGGCUUGAUCUCCGCAAGGAGUACGUAGGCAGUUUGCCGAAAGGCAAAUUCAGCUGUCCCCCCUCAUUAAAAAGGGGGGGAGUGGGUACUUAUACUCGUAUACUCCCAAAAUCGAAAAAACUUCUUACCACGCUCUUGGUGUUUUCGACUUAUCAAAACCUCCUCACCCGUAAAAUCAGUGCGAGGUCUUCGGAUAUUAGUCGGCCGUUUAGGAGAAGCAACCUUUAGCAUCGCGAGACGUCGCAAAAGAUGCCUUAAAGGUUAUUUCUUUCGAACAAACAAAACUUCCGUCACAAAAGAAACAUAUAUAUGCACACAUUAGCACCCAUUUUGCGCAAAAAUUCGAAACAACGGCACACGCCACCAAGUCCGAUGCUGAUCACAUCGAACUCGCAAAACGUCCUAAACAGACGUAGCCAUCUCACGAAGAUGACUCUCUUACAUCCGACACAAGGAUAAUAGCGCUAUAAAAGAAAUCCGAAAUUUUGGUCUAGCACUUCCGGUCUCCGGAGAGAUGCUCGAUUCGUAUCAAACAAGUCAUAUAAGCCGAGAACCUAUCGCGGACUUUAAAUCGAUACGAAUCAGGAAGAAAUCGUAACAGGAAAAAUGAUAGCCGGCCAGUCACCGCACAAUCCUUAAACCGAAAGUAAACCUAGGUCUUGAAUACGAAUCAGGAAGAAAUCGCAACAGGAAAACGAUAGCCGGCUAGUCACCGCACAAUCCUUAAACCGAAAGUACACCUAGGUCUUGCCCUAAACCCAGCGCACUGGUCUCUAACAUCUCAAGGCAUCUAACAUCUCAAGGCAUGAUAUCGAAAGAUAAGAGAUUCCUAAACCAUGCCUCUAUGUUUAUAUUUGUUGGGGUCAAAAACGGUUACGACGGAAUUACCACCCGAAAAUCCUCGGAGAUCGUAUUUCCGAAAGAGUUAGUAGAAGAAGGGAUGUAAUUUCCGUAAAAAUAACUUAUACGAGAUUUUUACGAAGAAGUGUCCUUUGGGAUUCAAACCGAACGAUCGUCCCGCUCGGUCGCUACGUAGCGACCGAGCUCGAGCCAAAGCUCGGUCGCUACGUAACGACCGAGCUCAAGCCAAAGCUCGGUCGCUACGUAGCAUCGUCCCGCUCGGUCGCUACGUAGCGACCGAGCUCGAGCCAAAGCUCAGUCGCUACGUAGCGACCGAGCGAUCGUCCCGCUCGGUCGCUACGUAGCGACCGAGCUCGAGCCAAAGCUCAGUCGCUACGUAGCGACCGAGCGAUCGUCCCGCUCGGUCGCUACGUAGCGACCGGGCACUCGUUUCACUCGGUCGCUACAUAACGACCGGGCUCGAGCCAAAGUUCGGUCGCUGUGUAGCGAUUGAACCUUUCCGAACAUCGAUAUGACGCCAGUCCUUGCAUCCUCGUCAAACCUUCAAAUGAUAUCUCCCGAAGACCGUAGCAAGCUCAGUCCAUGUUUCCCGCUAUUCUAAUUCAUCGAUCAAACUUCGCGGAUUAGAAACCGCGGAAAACUCGUAGUAAACGUGUCGAGUCGGAAGACGGCCCAAAGGGACCUAAAACACGACUCGAGGCCCAUCCUACGAUUUUUCCUAACCAAAAGCCCGUGAACCACAGCAUGGUUCACACUUGGCCCACAAGGAAGGAUAAAUGUCAAGUUUCCGCGGAUAAAUACGGAAGUUUUGAAGAUAAUUGUGAAGAUCGGGAAAAAUGGAAUAUCUCCAUUUUUAUGCUAUGACGGCUUAAGGGCAGAAGAGUAAAAGCGUAAACCGACCUUGGAGCUAGUAUAUAAGGAGUCCUAGGCGAGGAGCAUGGGAGAGAGCUUUUUAGACUCGGAAUUAUAAACCAACCUUGGAGCUAGUAUAUAAGGAGUCCUAGGCGAGGAGCAAGGGAAGAACUUUUUUCAGAGCAAACUUAGCACUUAGAGCGAUUUAGGCAACUUUCCGUUUUUGUUAUUUCGAGCUGCGACUCAAUUAGGUUUAGCCGUCUUAGGGUUGCUAGAACUAGGAAUCUCGCCGACAGCUCUCGAGCCCAGGCUUAUACCUUGUUGUAACGCUCAUACGCAGAUUCGGAAUAAGAUCUACUUUGCUCUCUUUUCGAUUUCUUAUUUUUAUCGUUGUUAUUCUCGUGUUCUGAUUGCUUGACGUGUGGUAAUUAACAGAUAUCCGGGUCCUCUGGGAAACUAGGGUUUUCUUAGUUUCCUUAUUUAAAUGGAAAUCGACAGUGCGAAUUUCGGUUCCCACAGUGGUAAUUAACAGAUAUCCGGGUCCUCUGGGAAACUAGGGUUUUCUUAGUUUCCUUAUUUAAACGGAAAUCGACAGUGCGAAUUUCGGUUCCCACAGUUUGGCGCUAGAAGGAGGGGGACUUACGGAUCAAUCUAACCCGCAAAAGCCACACACAGUCAGACAUGUCAACCAACGACGCGGAAAACGUGCAAACUCCCCUUAACGGAGGCAGCGGCACCGAUCUCCACACUCCGGUAGCGGAUGUACCUGCGGCCAACGCGCAAGCCAACGUCGCGACUCUCGAGGAGUUUAAAAAGAUGUUCGCCACCCAUGAAAAAAGGUCGGAAGAACAGGAUAAGCUCGUGAAUACCUUGACCAAACAGGUUGAAACCUUAACGGCAAGGACCCAAGCUAUCCGUCCCCGCGGAACCACCAAAAUCCGCGGGAAGAGGCUCGAUUUCGCCACCCCACUCGAUAGGACAGGAGUCGCGCGGGAACGACCUUCCGGUCAAAACCCCAGCGGAAAGUCUCCCAUCGAGAAGGGGAACUCUGAAAGUCUUCCGCUCCCUGCAAAGGACUCGGAGGAUAACGAAGCCGAACACAUUGACCUGGAUCCUAGCGAUGUCUCCAACGACAGCGACGAGGAUGGCGACAGACAUCCAAGAAGGACCAGAAGCCGAUCCGCUCGGGAAGGCUCCCCGUUCGAAAAACCAAUGACAGAAGAAGAAGAAGUCGCCUAUUGGAACGAACAAGAGGAGCUGGCCGAAAGGCAAACCGAGCUCACUCGCAGUAAGCGCCGACAGGCUCGGAAAUCCUCUGACGAGACAUCGGAUAUCCGCGAUCUUCGCGACUACAUCACCAAGACUACGGCAGAAGUGAGAGCCGUAAAGUCUCAAAUCCAUCAUGCUACUAGUGCUGCCCCCGAGAUCGAUCGACUGCUGGAAGGAGCUCGAAAGACCCCCUUUACCAAUCGCAUUUCGGACAUGAGGGUGUCCGAUCCGGGAAAGAUCAAAGUACCGAAGUACGAUGGUACGGCCGAUCCGAAAGCGCACCUUCAGGCUUUCCACAUCGCGAUGGGAAGAGCAAGACUGAAGGACGGCGAAAAGGAUGCCGGCUAUUGCCGCCUGUUCGUCGAAAAUCUUGAAGGAGCAGCGCUCGAAUGGUUCGCACGCCUUCGUCGCAACACCAUCGGGAGUUUUCGACAGCUCGCAUCGGAAUUCCUCAAACAGUACUCUGUAUUCAUAGACAGGGAAACCUCCGAUGUUGAUCUCUGGAGUCUCUCCCAGAGGGAAGACGAACCCCUCCGCGAAUUUAUCAGCCGGUUCAAACUGAUAAUGUCCAGGGUCAGCGGGAUAAGCGACAAAGUGGCCAUCGACGCGCUGAGAAAGACGCUCUGGUACAAGUCGAAAUUCAGAAAAUGGAUAACUCUCGACAAACCGCGAACGAUCCAGGACGCCCUCCACAAAGCAACAGACUAUAUCAUAGUGGAGGAAGAAACUAAAGUCUUAUCGCAAAAACAUAAGCCGGCAAGACCAUCCUCGAAAGACGCAGAUCCGAAGGGGAAAAAGAAGAACUCUCGUAACGACAAGUACGUCCAUCACGAGGGGGAAGAUCUCCAAGGGGCGCAUAACUAUGCGAUCAGUUCGGAUCAAGGCCGGACCACGGGCAACACAUGGACUCGCAAUCAAGGGUAUGACGAGAACACCUUCUGCGAGUUCCACCAAUCCCGAGGACACUCCACGACUAAUUGCAAAGUCUUAGGAGCAAGACUGGCCGCGAAGCUGCUUGCUGGAGAGCUUUCGGAAGUAACUAGCGUCAAGGAUCUCAUCCUCGAUUCUGAUCGGCCUCCAAAGACGGACAGAAAUCCGCCCGCCGAAAAAUCUCCUCAACGAAACCAACCUGGGGAUAAACGCGGUAGGAGGCCGGAUGACAAAGGGAACAAUAACAAUCGUCGCAGAGUCAAUAUGAUCAUCGGAGGAUCUCAAUACUGCGGCGAUACCGUGUCAGCCAUCAAGGCUUACCAACGGAAGGCAGAAUCAAGCGCAAAUUGGCCUACAUGGUCUCCUCCUCGAGACGGCCAAAAUUGCUCGAUCACCUUCACGGAAGAAGAAGCCGGCGGUAUCGACCAACCUCACUGCGACCCGCUCGUCAUAGAUCUCGUUAUACGAGAUUUAGAAGUCGGAAGGGUACUCGUCGAUACGGGAAGCACGGUCAACGUAAUCUUCCGCGACACUCUCAAUCGGAUGAGUAUCGAACUCGGAGAGGUAAUUCCGACGCCAAAACCACUCACGGGUUUUUCAGGCGAAGUGUCGAUGACUCUCGGAUCAAUCCAAUUGCCAGUCAUGGCCAAGGAGAUCACGAAAAUCGUCGAAUUCGCGGUAGUCGACCAUCCCGCUAUCUACAACGUGAUCAUGGGAACCCCAUGGCUCAACGCCAUGCAGGCAGUUCCGUCAACUUACCACCUGGGUCUCAAGUUCCCAACGCCGAGCGGAGUCGCGGCCAUUUGGGGAUGCCAAAAACAGUCGCGACUAUGCUUCCUCGCGGAGCAUAAGUUAAGGCAAAUCACGGCGUCUGCAAACGGCAAACCCGCGAAGAUAGAUCGAUCUUCGGCCAAAAGCGCCCCGCACAAGGACGAAGUAAAAUCGUCUGUCAACGCAAACGCAUCGGACGUCGAAGCUCGACAUAAAUCCGAAGCCCACGCGACAACUCAACCGGAACAUCCGGAAAAUAGCGUCGACCCAGCCACGAUCGACACGGUCAAGGCGGACAUCGCGACACCAACCGCCGAGUAAGAACACUCGCGGCAUGAAACAGAACUACGAGAUGGCUUGAUCCUCGAAAGGGGUACGUAGGCAGCUUGUCAAAAGACGAGUUCAGCUAUCCCCCUCUCUAAAAAGGGGGGGGGAGUGGGUGCGUAUACUCGUAUACUCCCACAAUCGCCAUUAUUGUAAUCGAGUUUUUAGAAACAUAAAAAUUUUUACAAUAUACACUGUCUUUUUAUCGAAAACGCUUACGCUUCAGUUUACGCUCGUCUGCGGCCUCAUCCGGCCCAAAAAUCGUAAAGAUUAUCACCUUUCAAACACGCAUAAUCCUCGAAAAUAACUGCGAGACGUCGCAAAAAGUUAAAACUCGAGGACAAUGCUAAACAAAUUGUCCGAACGCGACCACCAAAAACCUUACACCCCGUUCGUCGAUUGGCCCCGACGAACACGCCAGCCGUCUUAAACAAACGCAAUCCGAUCACUCUUUUGAUCUUUAAAAACGUCCAGCACAAGGACAAAAGCGCGCUACAACAAAAAUCCGAAAUUUUGGUUUAGCACUUCCAGUUGAUUCUGAGAAGAUGCUCGAUUCGUACCAUACAAGUCAUAUAAGCCGAGAACAUAUCGCGGACUUUAAACCGGUGCGAGUCAGGAAGAAAUCGCAACAGGAAAAACGAUAGCCGGCUAGUCACCGCACAAACCUUAACCGAAAGUAAACCUAGGUCUUGCCCUAAACCCAACGCUCUGGUCUCAAACAUCUCAAGGCAUGAUAUCUAAAAGAUACGAGAUCAUAAACCAUGCCUCUCCGUUCGUAUCUCAAUGUUCUCGAAAAUCGUAAAGACAGAUAAAUUUUUACGAAAAUCACGAACGAACCAACAGAUUGAACGUCUAAUUAGAACUACAUACGAGACGACAACUCGUAUUUACUUCAACCCUACUCAGGAAAAACUCGAAACGAAACAUUUAUCAUAUAAAUAAACCGCGUAAAGCGGCAAGGGAUUCAAAGCCACCAACGGCCAGUCCCCGAAAUACAAAUACGGCCAUCUUGGCCUAAACGAAAUCCAAAUCCAAAGGGCCAUAUUCGGCCGAAAACAAGGAUAACUGAUCCAUCCCUCAUAAUCCAAAGUCGAAGUCCCCGGACAACGAAGCACCAAACGCAUCCGCAGGACGAUCCACUUCCUCGCCACCGUCGUGAAAAUCGAUCGGGACCUCCUCGGUAUCAGGAGAAACCGGGAUGGAAUCCCAGAACCCUUGAAUCCUCUCGUCGAUCGGAGGGAUAAGCGCCUCAGCGUGGGCACGGUCACUCAUCCCACUCUUCAUCAAGCUCAUUUCCUCUUCAAACACAUAGUCGUCGGCUUGCGUCCUCCAAAGACUUCCGACCGAACCACGGCAUUCGCGAAAGUCGCCCACCGAGGUAAAGGCAUUCUUAAGGUUCCCGUACUCAACCUGGAACUGAGAUGCGCGAGUCUUCAUCACCUCGACGAUCUCUCUUUUGCCUUUCCUCUCCGCUCUGCGAACAGCCCGCGCAUGAUCACGAGUAAGCUGUGCCUCUCGCUCCAGCAUCUCGCCUUGCACGCGGGCGAGAUCCCGCUCCGCUUUCUCCGCCUUGAAGCGGUAGACCAUGGCUUCUCUAUGACCCGCCUCGAUGGCCGAGCCCAGCAAGCUCAGGCCCUGCAAAAUCAAUGGGCGUGUUACAAAUCCAUACAUAGGAUAAUCACUAAAAAAUUCCCAAAAAAAAACUAACCCCAUUGAUGAUGCGAGAUCCUUCCGCAACGACUCUCGGCCUCGCCGAUUCUUUCGUAGGAGGAGGAGCAUCGAAACCCGAUGGCAGCCCAGCAAAGAAAUCAUCGAAGUCCGGAAUGGGGGCCUCGCUCGAACCGCUUCCGUCGCCGUAAGCAAGGUUCGGAUCCCAUCCUGGAAGCAUAGAGUCAUCCAUCGAAAACUCUAUGUCGCCAAGAUCGACAUCUUUUCCCUUCCAAGAGCUCGACUCCGGCGCAGCUGUCGGAGCUUCAACGGGACUCUGGUCGUCGGGUUCGGAGUCGCUUCCCGUAUCCGCGUCCAAAGCUGGACCAGGUUGCACAAAUUUCAGUGCCUUCCGAACCCUUCUCGGCGUGAAAGAAGUCCAGAAGAAGGGACCAUUCCUGAGAAGAUCCCUCACCGCGAUAAUGUCCUCAGGGAACGGAGCAAGAGGAUUGAUGAAGGGACGAUUGUUCGGCAACCUCCGGAACAGUGGAAUGCAACUCUCUUCGACGGACGCAGCGUCCAAACGAACAAAGAAAAAGAACUUCUUCCACGAGUUGAAGUUCGAAAUGAACUUCUUAACCACCGACAUAAAUUUCCGAGGGACAAACCUAUGCUUAUCCGUAUCCUUGACAAGUUGAAGCCUCAAAAGGGCUUCAUAAUGAUCGACGGAAAGGGAAAGGCCAUGCUCAUAGCUUAGGAUCAAGAUCCCAAUAAGGUGCUGAAUGGCAAGGGGUGUCAACUGACUUAUCGCGACUUCGAAGCGGUCCAACACUCGGACGAGAAUUUCGGGUAUGGGGAACCAGAGGCGACAACGCACUAUGAACGCCUCAUAACAAGUAAAGUAACCCUCCGGGGGGUUGUUAGCACAUUCCCCGCGGCAGGGAACCCGGAACUCCACAACAUCCGGGAUGCGGUAGAACGACCGCAUCGUCGCGAGAAACUCGUCAGUAGUCCUGCUUGCGUCCUUUCCCUCGACUCCACGAUGGACCAGGACCGGGAAUGGCUUCUCCUUGGGAGGGAUCAACGAGCCGUAAUGAGCAACCCACCAUGCCUCGUUCUCGGCAGGAUGCACCGAGUGAGGCACGAACUCCAUCUUCGGAACGACGAGCUCUUCGUAAGGACUCGCGGACGAAGACCCUUUUCUCGCAAUCUUUUUCUUGCUCGACAUCUUUACACUUCUCUUAAGAGAAUAGAGGAAAAGGGUUGAGAGAAAGAUAGAAAGUUUUUUGAAAGAUCUUAGAGAAAAACAAGAAAGUGAAAAAAUUAUGGAACAAGUUACCUCACUUCUUAUAAGACAUGAGGAUUUACUAUUCAAGCUCGGACUUUCGCAUAUUAAUUCCAUCCAUCACGCCUAACUUGCCAAACAUGCCUAACCGCACGCUAGGAUCCCCCCAUGCAUGAUCCUAACGGGCUGGGGGGCUAACUGUUGGGGUCAAAAACGGUUACGACGGAAUUACCACCCGAAAAUCCUCAGAGAUCCGAUCGUCCCGCUCGGUCGAGCUUGGCCGAGCUCGGUUGUUGGGGUCAAAAACGGUUACGACGGAAUUACCACCCGAAAAUCCUCAGAGAUCGUAUUUCCGAAAGAGUUAGUAAAAGAAGGGAUGUAAUUUUCGUAAAAAUAACCUAUACGAGGUUAUUUCUACGAAGAAGUAUUCUUUGGGAUUCAAACCGAACGAUCAACCCGCUCGGUCGCUACGUAGCAACCGAGCUCGGGCCAAAGCUCGGUCGCUACGUAGCGACCGAGCGGGAUGAUCACUCGGUCGCUACGUAGCGACCGAGCUUUGGCCCGAGCUCGGUUGCUACGUAGCGACCGAGCGGGUUGAUCGUUCGGUUUGAAUCCCAAAGAAUACUUCUUCGUAGAAAUAACCUCGUAUAGGUUAUUUUUACGAAAAUUACAUCCCUUCUUUUACUAACUCUUUCGGAAAUACGAUCUCUGAGGAUUUUCGGGUGGUAAUUCCGUCGUAACCGUUUUUGACCCCAACAAUUAGCCCCCCAGCCCGUUAGGAUCAUGCAUGGGGGGAUCCUAGCGUGCGGUUAGGCAUGUUUGGCAAGUUAGGCGUGAUGGAUGGAAUUAAUAUGCGAAAGUCCGAGCUUGAAUAGUAAAUCCUCAUGUCUUAUAAGAAGAGAGGUAACUUGUUCCAUAAUUUUUUCACUUUCUUGUUUUUCUCUAAGAUCUUUCAAAAAAAAAAAACUUUCUAUCUUUCUCUCCACCCUUUUCCUCUAUUCUCUUAAGAGAAGUGUAAAGAUGUCGAGCAAGAAAAAGAUUGCGAAAAAAGGGUCUUCGUCCGCGAGUCCUUACGAAGACCUCGUCGUUCCGAAGAUGGAGUUCGUGCCUCACUCGGUGCAUCCUGCCGAGAACGAGGCAUGGUGGGUUGCUCAUUACGGCUCGUUGAUCCCUCCCAAGGAGAAGCCAUUCCCGGUCCUGGUCCAUCGUGGAGUCGAGGGAAAGGACGCAAGUAGGACCACUGACGAGUUUUGUCGCGACGAUGCGGUCGUUCUACCGCAUCCCGGAUGUUGUGGAGUUCCGGGUUCCCUGCCGCGGGGAAUGUGCUAACAACCCCCCGGAGGGUUACUUUACUUGUUAUGAGGUGUUCAUAGUGCGUUGUCGCCUCUGGUUCCCCAUACCCGAAAUUCUCGUCCGAGUGUUGGACCGUUUCGAAGUCGCGAUAAGUCAGUUGACACCCCUUGCCAUUCAGCACCUUAUUGGGAUCUUGAUCCUAAGCUAUGAGCAUGGCCUUUCCCUUUCCGUCGAUCAUUAUGAAGCGCUUUUGAGGCUUCAACUUGUCAAGGAUACGGAUAAGCAUAGGUUUGUCCCUCGGAAAUUUAUGUCGGUGGUUAAGAAGUUCAUUUCGAACUUCAACUCGUGGAAGAAGUUCUUUUUCUUUGUUCGUUUGGACGCUGCGUCCGUCGAAGAGAGUUGCAUUCCACUGUUCCGGAGGUUGCCGAACAAUCGUCCCUUCAUCAAUCCUCUUGCUCCGUUCCCUGAGGACAUUAUCGCGGUGAGGGAUCUUCUCAGGAAUGGUCCCUUCUUCUGGACUUCUUUCACGCCGAGAAGGGUUCGGAAGGCACUGAAAUUUGUGCAACCUGGUCCAGCUUUGGACGCGGAUACGGGAAGCGACUCCGAACCCGACGGCCAGAGUCCCGUUGAAGCUCCGACAGCCGCGCCAGAGUCGAGCUCUUGGAAGGGAAAAGAUGUCGAUCUCGGCGACAUAGAGUUUUCGAUGGAUGACUCUAUGCUUCUAGGAUGGGAUCCGAACCUUGCUUACGGCGACGGAAGCGGUUCGAGCGAGGCCCCCAUUCCGGACUUCGAUGAUUUCUUUGCUGGGCUGCCAUCGGGUUUCGAUGCUCCUCCUUCUACGAAAGAAUCGGCGAGGCCGAGAGUCGUUGCGGAAGGAUCUCGCAUCAUCAAUGGGGUUAGUUUUUUUUGGGAAUUUUUUAGUGAUUAUCCUAUGUAUGGAUUUGUAACACGCCUAUUGAUUUUGCAGGGCCUGAGCUUGCUGGGCUCGGCCAUCGAGGCGGGUCAUAGAGAAGCCAUGGUCUACCGCUUCAAGGCGGAGAAAGCGGAGCGGGAUCUCGCCCGCGUGCAAGGCGAGAUGCUGGAGCGAGAGGCACAGCUUACUCGUGAUCAUGCGCGGGCUGUUCGCAGAUCGGAGAGGAAAGGCAAAAGAGAGAUCGUCGAGGUGAUGAAGACUCGCGCAUCUCAGUUCCAGGUUGAGUACGGGAAUCUUAAGAAUGCCUUUACCUCGGUGGGUGACUUUCGCGAGUGCCGUGGUUCGGUCGGAAGUCUUUGGAGGACGCAAGCCGACGACUAUGUGUUUGAAGAGGAAAUGAGCUUGAUGAAGAGUGGGAUGAGUGACCGUGCCCACGCUGAGGCGCUUAUCCCUCCGAUCGACGAGAGGAUUCAAGGGUUCUGGGAUUCCAUCCCGGUUUCUCCUGAUACCGAGGAGGUCCCGAUCGAUUUUCACGGCGGUGGCGAGGAAGUGGAUCGUCCCGCGGAUGCGUUUGGUGCUUCGUUGUCCGCGGACUUCGACUUUGGAUUAUGAGGGAUGGAUUAGUUAUCCUUGUUUUCGGCCGAAUAUGGCCCUUUGAAUUUGGAUUUCGUUUAGGUCAAGAUGGCCGUAUUUGUAUUUCGGGGACUGGCCGUUGGUGGCUUUGAAUCCCUUGCCGCUUUAUGCGGUUUAUUUAUAUGAUAAAUGUUUCGUUUCGAGUUUUUCCUGAGUAGGGUUGAAGUAAAUACGAGUUGUCGUCUCGUAUGUAGUUCUAAUUAGACGUUCAAUCUGUUGGUUCGUUCGUGAUUUUCGUAAAAUUUAUCUGUCUUUACGAUUCUGAGAACAUUGAGACACGAACGGAGAGGCAUGGUUUAUGAUCUCGUAUCUUUUAGAUAUCAUGCCUUGAGAUGUUUGAGACCAGAGCGUUGGGUUUAGGGCAAGACCUAGGUUUACUUUCGGUUAAGGUUUGUGCGGUGACUAGCCGGCUAUCGUUUUUCCUGUUGCGAUUUCUUCCUGACUCGCACCGAUUUAAAGUCCGCGAUAUGUUCUCGGCUUAUAUGACUUGUAUGGUACGAAUCGAGCAUCUUCUCAGAAUCAACUGGAAGUGCUAAACCAAAAUUUCGGAUUUUUGUUGUAGCGCGCUUUUGUCCUUGUGCUGGACGUUUUUAAAGAUCAAAAGAGUGAUCGGAUUGCGUUUGUUUAAGACGGCUGGCGUGUUCGUCGGGGCCAAUCGACGAACGGGGUGUAAGGUUUUUGGUGGUCGCGUUCGGACAAUUUGUUUAGCAUUGUCCUCGAAUUUUAACUUUUUGCGACGUCUUGCAGUUAUUUUCGAGGAUUAUGCGUGUUUGAAAGGUGAUAAUCUUUACGAUUUUUGGGCCGGAUGAGGCCGCAGACGAGCGUAAACUGAAGCGUAAGCGUUUUCGAUAAAAAGACAGUGUAUAUUGUAAAAAAAAUUUAUGUUUCUAAAAACUCGAUUACAAUAAUGGCGAUUGUGGGAGUAUACGAGUAUACGCACCCACUCCCCCCCCCUUUUUAGAGAGGGGGAUAGCUGAACUCGUCUUUUGACGAGCUGCCUACGUACCCCUUUCGAGGAUCAAGCCAUCUCGUAGUUCUGUUUCAUGCCGCGAGUGUUCUUACUCGGCGGUUGGUGUCGCGAUGUCCGCCUUGACCGUGUCGAUCGUGGCUGGGUCGACGCUAUUUUCCGGAUGUUCCGGUUGAGUUGUCGCGUGGGCUUCGGAUUUAUGUCGAGCUUCGACGUCCGAUGCAUUUGCGUUGACAGACGAUUUUACUUCGUCCUUGUGCGGGGCGCUUUUGGCCGAAGAUCGAUCUAUCUUCGCGCGUUUGCCGUUUGCAGAAGCCGUGAUUUGCCUUAACUUAUGCUCCGCGAGGAAGCAUAGUCGCGACUGUUUUUGGCAUCCCCAGAUGGCCGCGACUCCGCUCGGCGUUGGGAACUUGAGACCCAGGUGGUAAGUUGACGGAACAGCCUGCAUGGCGUUGAGCCAUGGGGUUCCCAUGAUAACGUUGUAGAUAGCGGGAUGGUCGACUACCGCGAAUUCGACGAUUUUCGUGAUCUCCUUGGCCAUGACUGGCAAUUGGAUUGACCCGAGAGUCAUCGAUACUUCGCCUGAAAAACCCGUGAGUGGUUUUGGCGUCGGAAUUACCUCUCCGAGUUCGAUACUCAUCCGAUUGAGAGUGUCGCGGAAGAUUACGUUGACCGUGCUUCCCGUAUCGACGAGUACCCUUCCGACUUCUAAAUCUCGUAUGACGAGAUCUAUGACGAGCGGGUCGCAGUGAGGUUGGUCGAUACCGCCGGCUUCUUCUUCCGUGAAGGUGAUCGAGCAAUUUUGGCCGUCUCGAGGAGGAGACCAUGUAGGCCAUUUUGCGCUUGAUUCUGCCUUCCGUUGGUAAGCCUUGAUGGCUGACACGGUAUCGCCGCAGUAUUGAGAUCCUCCGAUGAUCAUAUUGACUCUGCGACGAUUGUUAUCGUUCCCUUUGUCAUCCGGCCUCCUACCGCGUUUAUCCUCAGGUUGGUUUCGUUGAGGAGAUUUUUCGGCGGGCGGAUUUCUGUCCGUCUUUGGAGGCCGAUCAGAAUCGAGGAUGAGAUCCUUGACGCUAGUUACUUCCGAAAGUUCUCCAGCGAGCAGCUUCGCGGCCAGUCUUGCUCCCAAGACUUUGCAAUUGGUCGUGGAGUGUCCUCGGGAUUGGUGGAACUCGCAGAAGGUGUUUUCGUCAUACCCUUGAUUGCGAGUCCAUGUGUUGCCCGUGGUCCGGCCUUGAUCCGAACUGAUCGCAUAGUUAUGCGCCCCUUGGAGAUCUUCCCCCUCGUGAUGGACGUACUUGUCGUUACGAGAGUUCUUCUUUUUCCCCUUCGGAUCUGCGUCUUUCGAGGAUGGUCUUGCCGGCUUAUGUUUUUGCGAUAAGACUUUAGUUUCUUCCUCCACUAUGAUAUACUCCGUUGCUUUGUGGAGGGCAUCCUGGAUCCUUCGCGGUUUGUCGAGAGUUAUCCAUUUUCUGAAUUUCGACUUGUACCAGAGCGUCUUUCUCAGCGCGUCAAUGGCCACUUUGUCGCUUAUCCCGCUGACCCUGGACAUUACCAGUUUGAACCGACUGAUAAACUCGCGGAGGGGUUCGUCUUCCCUCUGGGAGAGACUCCAGAGAUCAACAUCGGAGGUUUCCCUGUCUAUGAAUACAGAGUACUGUUUGAGGAAUUCCGAUGCGAGCUGUCGAAAACUCCCGAUGGUGUUGCGACGAAGGCGUGCGAACCAUUCGAGCGCUGCUCCUUCAAGAUUUUCGACGAACAGGCGGCAAUAGCCGGCAUCCUUUUCGCCGUCCUUCAGUCUUGCUCUUCCCAUCGCGAUGUGGAAAGCCUGAAGGUGCGCUUUCGGAUCGGCCGUACCAUCGUACUUCGGUACUUUGAUCUUUCCCGGAUCGGACACCCUCAUGUCCGAAAUGCGACUGGUAAAGGGGGUCUUUCGAGCUCCUUCCAGCAGUCGAUCGAUCUCGGGGGCAGCACUAGUAGCAUGAUGGAUUUGAGACUUUACGGCUCUCACUUCUGCCGCAGUCUUGGUGAUGUAGUCGCGAAGAUCGCGGAUAUCCGAUGUCUCGUCAGUGGAUUUCCGAGCCUGUCGGCGCUUACUGCGAGUGAGCUCGGUUUGCCUUUCGGCCAGCUCCUCUUGUUCGUUCCAAUAGGCGACUUCUUCUUCUUCCGUCAUUGGUUUUUCGAACGGGGAGCCUUCCCGAGCGGAUCGGCUUCUGGUCCUUCUUGGAUGUCUGUCGACAUCCUCGUCGGUGUCGUUGGAGACAUCACUAGGAUCCAGGUCAAUGUGUUCGGCUUCGUUAUCCUCCGAGUCCUUUGCAGGGAGCGGAAGACUUUCAGAGUUCCCCUUCUCGAUGGGAGACUUCUCGCUGGGGUUUUGACCGGAAGGUCGUUCCCGCGCGGCUCCUGCUCUAUCGAGUGGGGUGGCGAAAUCGAGCCUCUUCCCGUGGAUUUUGGUGGUUCCGCGGGGACGGAUAGCUUGGGUCCUUGCCGUUAAGGUUUCAACCUGUUUGGUCAAGGUAUUCACGAGCUUAUCCUGUUCUUCCGACCUUUUUUCAUAGGUGGCGAACAUCUUUUUAAACUCCUCGAGAGUCGCGGCGUUGGCUUGCGCGUUGGCCGCAGAUACGUCCGCUACCGGAGUGUGGAGAUCGGUGCCGCUGCCUCCGUUAAGGGGAGUUUGCACGUUAUCCGCGUCGUUGGUUGACAUGUCUGAUUGUGUGUGGCUUUUGCGGGUUAGAUUGAUCCGUAAGGCCCUGUGUGUGGCUUUUGCGGGGGAGUUUGCACGUUAUCCGCGUCGUUGGUUGACAUGUCAGACUGUGUGUGGCUUUUGCGGGUUAGAUUGAUCCGUAAGGCCCCCUCCUUCUAGCGCCAAACUGUGGGAACCGAAAUUCGCACUGUCGAUUUCCGUUUAAAUAAGGAAACUAAGAAAACCCUAGUUUCCCAGAGGACCCGGAUAUCUGUUAAUUACCACACGUCAAGCAAUCAGAACACGAGAAUAACAACGAUAAAAAUAAGAAAUCGAAAAGAGAGCAAAGUAGAUCUUAUUCCGAAUCUGCGUAUGAGCGUUACAACAAGGUAUAAGCCUGGGCUCGAGAGCUGUCGGCGAGAUUUCUAGUUCUAGCAACCCUAAGACGGCUAAACCUAAUUGAGUCGCAGCUCGAAAUAACAAAAACGGAAAAUUGCCUAAAUUGCUCUAAGUGCUAAGUUUGCUCUGAAAAAAGUUCUCCCUCUUGCUCCUCGCCUAGGACUCCUUAUAUACUAGCUCCAAGGUCGGUUUACGCUUUUACUCUUCUGCCCUUAAGCCGUCAUAGCAUAAAAAUGGAGAUAUCCAUUUUUCCCGAUCUUCACAAUUAUCUUCAAAACUUCCGUAUUUAUCCGCGGAAACUUGACAUUUAUCCUUCCUCGUGGGCCAAGCGUGAACCACGCUGUGGUUUACGGGCUUUUGGUUAGGAAAAUCUUAGGAUGGGCCUCGAGUCGUGUUUUAGGUCCCUUUGGGCCGUCUUCCGACUCGACACGUUUACUACGAGUUUUCCGAGGUUUCUAAUCCGCGAAGUUUGAUCGACGAAUUAGAAUAGCGGGAAACAUGGACUGAGCUUGCUACGGUCUUCGGGAGAUAGCAUUCGAAGGUUUGACGAGAAUGCAAGGACUGGUGUCGUAUCGAUGUUCGGAAAGGUUCAAUCGCUACACAGCGACCAAACUUUGGCUCGAGCCCGGUCGCUACGUAGCGACCGAGCGAGACGAGUGCUCGGUCGCUACGUAGCGACCGAGCUUUGGCUCGAGCUCGGUCGCUACGUAGCGACCGAGCAGGACGAUCGCUCGGUCGCUACGUAGCGACCGAGCGGGACGAUCGCUCGUUCGCUGCGUAGCGACUUGUUUCGAGCUUUUCGUCAGACAUCUCGAUUCUUUCUUCCGUAAAGCUUUUUUCGUAAGAAAUAGUCUAUUUCCGAAAAAUACUCUUCGGAGAAAUUCUUAUUUUCUUCCUCGGACGUUUUGAAUGUUAAAUUUGUCGUAACCGUUUUUGACCCCAACAGUUUGCCCCCCAGCCCGUUAGAGUUGUGACUCUAGCGGGCGGAUAGAUGACUUUGACAAGGUUAAGUGUAUCGGACGAAAUUUACAUUUAAAAUUCCACGGAAAAAAGUUGUCAAGACGACAUUCCGAACCCAUACUUCUAUAAGUAGUGAGCUCUUGUCAUUCAUUUUCUUCACACCUUCCCUUCUUCAUUCCUUCAAAAACCUCUCUAGCUUCAUAAUUUUCCUUUCAACAUGUCUUCCUCCCAAGGUGAUAAGAAGGAUUCCGACGUCGAGAUGGGUGAGGCCACUUCUCCGGCUCCGGUUCCAACUUCUCCGGCGGAAGUGCCGGCUUGUGUUGCCGGUCAUCUUUCUUUCCGAGAGAAACUAGUUCGUCGCCAAGCCGAGAAAGGAUUGGCUCAAACUGGCUCUGAGUUUCCAUCUUCUUCCGCGCAGGUCGUUGCCUCGUGUCAUGGGACCGACGUCGCGGCUCUUCUCCCGCAGGCCCUACCUGCAGGAUCUUCCACGACUCCGAUCCUCGUCGAGGACAAAGAGAAAGCCGCUGACUCUAUGCCUCCGCCUCCAGCCAGAAAAGAAAUCGUUCUGGCAUUGCGUGCUCCUAGCGCUGUCCUGGCUACUCAGCCUAAGAGUCGGAAGAGGAAGCUUGCCAAGAGCGGUGACGGGGAGACUUCGCAGCGAGGUGGGUCGAGCCUAGCAUUGGGACUUCGCGGAAAGGUUUGUUUCUUGUUUGAAUUCUCGAUCGUCUUUCGUGCAUUCUUUUCACGGACUUAGUCUUAAGUAUUUUUACCGUUCGCAGUUCAUAUCGUUGAUCGAUGGGAUGAUCAGCGAAUGUGGUUCUGAGACCAGUCGCCUUUCCGGGGAGUUGGUGGAGCUUCAGGGAAGAUGGUCCGAAACCGAAGCUAUGUUGACGGCUGUCGAGGACUCUCACUCUGCGAAAGUGUCGAAGCUCGAGGUUGCCAUAGGAGAGCUUGAGAGGGACCUUGGGAAGACGGCGAGUUCCUUGCUCAAGGAAAAGAAGGCCAGGAAGGCCAAAUCCUCGGAGGUGCGCCGACUCCAGCGUCAGAUCGAGAGUGACGCGGGACUAGCGCGCCGCGGGAUCCAAGAGGCUACGGAUGCUCUUCGUGUGGAGUUUCAAGGUCGCUUGGCGAAGAUUUCUGCUUCCCUAGGUUCCCUCGAGUGUAUCCGGAGCAGGGAUCUCGCUUUGGCGACGAUUGAGGGCGGGGUGGCCGUAGUUCGGUCAUUCCAAAGUGAGACUCCCCCGACCUUGGAGGCCGAAGAGGCCCGGCUGUCCGGCUGCAAGGGAGAUAUGGCGGCCGAGGAUGGAGAUUUCGGUCUCAUCCUGGCCGACCUGAAAUCCGCGUGCUUCCUUCCGACGUGUUCAGAAGACCCAGAGGGGAAAGACCCGAUGGUCGGAGAGAACGGAAGCGAUGCGGCUCCAGGCUCGGACGAGGCAGCGGGUGAAGAGGGGGCGUAAGUUCUGAGGGCGACUUGGGUUAGAUCUCUUGCGAGAGAUUUUUUUUAAGUUUUUAUGUUUCGGCCUUGAAUGGCCUUGUUUGUAUUUCGGGACUGGCCGUGUGUGGCUUUGAAUCCCUGCCGCUCCGCGGCUUUAUGAUAUGAUAAUCAGAUAACGCUUUUUAUGAAUUUGUGAAUAGUGGGGAGGAAGGUGAUGAGUUGGCGUCUCAUAUCCUUCUUCAAUUGUGAAAUGUUUUAUUCGAGACCUGUUUCGAGAGUUCUUCCGCGAGAUGUGAACUCUGCGGGGGUGCUGAAGGUAUCGAAUGUAAACAUAGAGGCGUGUUUUAAGAAUCUCCUAUCUUUCGAUAUCAUGCCUUUGAGAUGUUAGAGACCAGUGCGCUGGGUUUAGGGCAAGACCUAGGUUUACUUUCGGUUUAAGGAUUGUGCGGUGACUAACCGGCUAUCGUUUUUCCUGUCGCGAUUUCUUCCUGAUUCGUAUCGAUGUAAAGUCCGCGAAAAUUUCUUGGCUUAUACGACUUGUUUGAUACGAAUCGAGCAUCUCUCCGGAGACCGGAAGUGCUAGACCAAAAUUUCGGAUUUCUUUUAUAGCGCUAUUAUCCUUGUGUCGGAUGUAAGAGAGUCAUCUGCGUGAGAUGUCUAUGUCUGUUUAGGACGUUUAUGAGUUCGAUGUGAUCAGCAUCGGACUUGGUGGCGUGUGCCGUUAUUUUGAUUAUUUUGCGCAAAAUAAAUGUUAAUGUGUGCAUGUAUGUAUCUUUUUGCGGAGAUUUCGUUUGCUCGGAAGAAAACAACUUUGAGGCAUCUUUUGCGACGUCUCGCGAUGCUAAAGGUUGAUUCUCCCAAGCGGCCGACUGAUUUCCGAAGACCUCGUUGCGAUUUCGCGGGUGAGGAUGUUUUGAUAAGUCGAAAACACCAAAAGUGUGGUAAGAAGUUUUUCGAUUUUUUUGGAGUAUACGAGUAUACGUACCCACUCCCCCCCCCCUUUUUUAAUGAGGGGGACAGCUGAAUUUGCCUUUCGGCAAACUGCCUACGUACUCCUUGCGGAGAUCAAGCCGUCUCGUAGUUCAGUGAUUGCGAGUUGAUUUGUUUAGUGAUAGUAUUUUUUUAGAUGCAUCGCAUUCCAGGUUCUAGGGAUUUUUAUGCCCUGCAUGUUGGCUAUUUCGUAAGAACCUGGUCGGACGACUUUUUCGAUUUUAUAGGGACCUUCCCAGUUUGCUCCGAGUUUUCUCGCGUUUCGUUCAGCGGUGUUUUGGAAGACUUUGCGAAGGACCAGAUCUCCCUGAUUGAACCUACGAUUCCGUACGUUGGAAUUAUAGUAUCUCGCAGCGGCGUGCUGGUAGUUUUGAAUUCGGAUGAGCGCUCGAUCCCGGCGUUUGUUAAUGAGAUCGAGGUCGUCCAAGAGCAUAGCAUUGUUGAGUUCCUCUCGUUCAGGUAAGAACCUUCUUCGAACACCGGGAAAUUCUACUUCUGCGGGAAUCAUUCACUCCGUGCCGUAUACCAGGGCGAAGGGAGUUUCUCCCGUUGCUCGCCUUGGGGUGGUACGGUGAGACCAGAGGACUCCCUCGAGUUCGUCGGCCCAUCUACCUUUUUUGGCCUCCAAGCGUUUCUUCAAUCCGUCGAGAAUGGUCUUGUUGAUUGUUUCAGCCUGUCCGUUGCACUGCGGAUAUCUGGGAGUUGACUUGUUGAGUCGUAUCUUCCACUUUUCGCAGAAUGCCUCGAAUCGGGUGGAAAUGAAUUGAGACCCGUUAUCGGUUACGAUUUCGUAAGGAACUCCAUGCCUACAGAUGAUGUUUCUCCACACGAAAUUCUCGACUUGGACGUCUUUUAUACUUGCGUACGAGUCCGCCUCUACCCAUUUUGAGAAAAAAUCGGUAAGGACUAGAAGGAAACGCUUUUGCUUUGAAUUAUGCAGAGGUCCGACAAUAUCCAUGGCCCAGCGCAUAAAGGGAUAGGGCGAUGUGAUGGAGGAAAGAACUUCGGCCGGUUGUCGGAUAGUUGGCGCAUGCCUUUGGCAUUUUUCGCAUUUUCGUGCGAAUUUCUCGCAAUCUCCGAUCAUUGUUGGCCAAUAGUAUCCGUGGCGUUUGAUUUUCACGGCUAGUGAUCUUCCGCCGGAAUGGUUGCCGCAUGAGCCGGAAUGUAUUUCCUCCAUUACUUUCCUCGCCUUUUCUCCUUCCAGGCACGUCAGGAGUGGUCCGGAGAAUCUCCAUUUGUAGAUUUCGCCGUCCACUGUUACGUAGCGUGCGGCCUGUGUUCGGAUCUUGCGAGCUGCCCAUUUUUCGGCGGGCAGUUGCCCGUCGAUAAUGUAGUCUCGAAUCGUCUGAAGCCAUGGGGUAUCACAGCCGUAAUCAGAUUGCUCCGAUGGUGGUGGUAUCGUAAUUUCUUCUUCCUCGUCGUCUUGACCCUCUAUGAGAUUGACAACGACUGGUGGUCCGAUACUCGGAUGUUCGAUGAAUUCGACCGGAAUUACCCUUUUGAGUCCUGGAUCGGAACUUGAUGCUAAGGCCGCGAGGGCGUCCGCCUGGACAUUCUCGGAACGGGGGAUCCGGGUAAGGGCGAAACAGUCGAAGUCUUGAGCUAGACCUUGGACCAGUUUGAGGUACGCGUCCAUCCGUUCGUCUCUGGCUUCAUACUCUCCGCUGAAUUGACUGGCCACUAACUGGGAGUCGCAGUAGGCGUGGAGAUUAUGUAUUUUUAAGCCAUGAGCCAAACGUAGACCUGCGAUUAAUGCUUCGUAUUCGGCCUCGUUGUUUGAGGCAUGGAAUACCAGCCUGAACGAUUGUUCCAAGAUCUCGCUCGUUGGAGAUGUGAGACGGAUCCCGAUACCCGAUCCUUGCUUGGAUGAGGAUCCGUCGACGUGGAGGAGCCAGGUGGAAUUUGGUUCCUCAUUGGUUAUUGCUCCCGUUGGAAGUUCGACCAAGAAGUCUGCGAGCACUUGUGAUUUUGCGCUCGUCCUUGGUCGGUAUUCGAUGUCAUACUCGCUCAACUUGACCGCCCACUUAGCCAAUCGACCGGAUUGACUUGGGCUAUGCAAAAUUGUCCGUAAGGGAAAAGUCGUGAGGAUGACAAUCGUGUGGGAUUGGAAAUAUGGUCUUAGUUUUCGGGCCGACGUUACGACCGCGCAUGCCAAUUUUUCCAUCAAUGGAUACCUAGAUUCGGCAUCCAGCAAGGUUUUGCUUAUGUAGAAAAUAGGUUUCUGCUCUCCACGUUCUUCCCUGAUCAGGACUCCGCUUACGGCCGUUGCCGACACCGCGAUGUACAAGAAUAAAGGCUCCCCUUCCACGGGUUUUGCGAGGACUGGAGGAGUAGCUAAAUAACGCUUCAGCUGUUGGAAGGCGUUUUCGCACUCUUCCUACCAUUCAAAUUUUUUAUUUUCUCGCAGGACGUCGUAGAAGGGCAGACACUUAUCUGUUGAUCGUGAAAUAAAUCGGUUAAGUGCUGCGAUUCUGCCGGUCAGUCUUUGGACCUCCCGCUUGUUCUUUGGUGAAGCCAUCUCGAUUAGUGCGUUGAUCUGUUUUGGAUUUGCUUCGAUGCCGCGGUUGGUGACCAAGUAGCCGAGGAAUUCUCCUGAUGCCACGGCGAAUCUACAUUUUGUCGGGUUGAGCUUCAUGUUAUGGGAGCUUAGUUGUGCAAAGCAUUCUUCGAGAUGUGACACGUGAUCUCUUGCUUUGAGGGAUUUGACGAGCAUGUCGUCGAUAUAAACUUCCAUCGUUUUUCCGAGUUGUUUGGAGAACAUUCGGUUCACGAGUCGUUGGUAAGUUGCUCCAGCGUUUUUGAGGCCGAAGGGCAUUACCUUAUAGCAAUAAGUUCCGCGAUCGGUAAUGAACGCAGUCUUUUCACGAUCGUCGGGAUUCAUCCUAAUUUGAUUAUAACCUGAGAACGCAUCCAUGAAGGAUAAGAGUUCGUUGCCCGCUGUUGCUUCUACCAAUCGAUCGAUAUGUGGUAGAGGGAAGCUAUUCUUCGGACAUGCCUUGUUUAGGUCGGUAAAAUCUACGCAAACUCGCCACUUCCCGUUUUUCUUUUUGACUACUACGGGGUUGGCGAGCCAGUCCGGGUAUCUUACUUCCGUUAUCGACCCAACUUUAAGCAAUUUUUCGACCUCAUCGUUUACUGCGGCAGCACGUUCGGGUCCUAGCUUCCGCCUUUUCUGUUUGACGGGUUUGAAUGUUGGGUCGAUAUUCAGCUCGUGACAUGUUAUGUUAAUGUCGAUUCCCGGCAUGUCUUCCGCAGCCCAUGCGAAAGUAUUAAGGUUCUCUUUAAGACAGGUUAUGAGUUCUGUCCUUAAAGGCUCGUGGAGAUUGGCUCCAAUCUCGACGUAGCGUUCUGGGAAGGCUUCGUCGAGACAGAUCGUUACCACGGGUUCACAUGUUGGCUCGCGUUUUUCAUCUAGAGUUGCGAUGCUGCGAGACUGCCAGAAGAAUUCAGCCGAAUCCUAACUUUGCGUAUCUUUGCUGGAGGUCUUUUUCUCCGCUUUCUUAGGAGUAACUUCGAGGAUCGGUCUCUUUCGUUUUAGUUCCGCAGCAAAACAAAACUGCGAAACUCUUGGAUUUCCCCAGAUUACCUCGACUCCGUUAGGGGUCGGGAACUUGAGGCAAAGAUGGUAGGUUGAUGGGAUUGCGCGCAUGGUGUUCAGCCAUGGCGUCCCCAUGAUAACGUUGUAAGAUGCGGGGCGGUCAACGACUAGAAACUCUGUGAUGUUUGUCACGGUUCCGGCUUUGACAGCGAGUCUAAUCGAUCCAUAGGCCAUGGUCGUUUCCCCCGAAAGUCCUAGCAGUGGGCUUGGGUAUUUCGCGAUCUCGGAUUGACUGAUCCCCAUCUUUUCAAGAGUGUCUUUGAAGAUGAUAUCGGCCGAGCUUCCGGUAUCGAUUAGUACUCUAGCGACGUCGAUAUCUCGAAUCGUCAACUCGAUAACAAGGAGAUCGUUUCGAGGUUUGGCUCGAUCGAUCGUUUCUCCCCCCUUGAAUGAGAUGACGUUCGCGCACGUCGAAUCUCGCAUAUCGUUCCUGAUCGUUGAGUGGCUUUUGCGGGUUAGAUUGAUCCGUAAGUCCCCCUCCUUCUACCGCCAAACUGUGGGAACCGAAAUUCACACUGUCGAUUUCCGUUUAAAUAAGGAAACUAGGAAAACCCUAAUUUCCCAGAGGACCCGGAUAUCUGUUAAUUACCACACGUCAAGCAAUCAGAACACGAGAAUAAUAACGAUAAAAAUAAGAAAUCGAAAAGAGAGCAAAGUAGAUCUUAUUCUGAAUCUGCGUAUGAGCGUUACAACAAGGUAUAAGCCUGGGCUCGAGAGCUGUCGGCGAGAUUUCUAGUUCUAGCAACCCUAAGACGGCUAAACCUAAUUGAGUCGCAGCUCGAAAUAACAAAAACGGAAAAUUGCCUAAAUUGCUCUAAGUGCUAAGUUUGCUCUGAAAAAAGUUCUCCCUCUUGCUCCUCGCCUAGGAAUCCUUAUAUACUAGCUCCAAGGUCGGUUUACGCUUUUACUCUUCUGCCCUUAAGCCUUCAUGCAAGGACUAGUGUCGUAUCGAUGUUCGGAAAGGUUCAAUCGCUACACAGCGACCGAACUUUGGCUCGAGCCCGGUCGCUACGUAGCGACCGAGCGAGACGAGUGCUCGGUCGCUACGUAGCGACCGAGCUUUGGCUCGAGCUCGGUUGCUACGUAGCGACCGAGCGGGACGAUCGCUCAGUCGCUACGUAGCGACCGAGCUUUGGCUCGAGCUUGUAGCGACCGAGCGGGACGAUCGCUCGGUCGCUACGUAGCGACCGAGCUUUGGCUCGAGCUCGGUCGCUAGGUAGCGACCGAGCUGGACGAUCGCUCGGUCGCUGCGUAGCGAUUUGUUUCAAGCUUUUCGUCGGACAUCUCGAUUCUUUCUUCCGUAAAGCUUUUUUCGUAAGAAAGAGUCUAUUUCCGAAAAAUACUCUUCGGAGAAAUUCUUAUUUUCUUCCUCGGACGUUUUGAAUGUUAAAUUUGUCGUAACCGUUUUUGACCCCAACAAGGAUGAAUCGCGAUGUAAGAAGCUUGAUUUUGAUACAUAAAGUAAUGGAGAAUCACUAGGAAGUUGAAUAAAUCUCAUAGGAGUUAGGAUGAAGAAGUUGUCCCACUUUCAAAUCAGGUGAUCCCAGUUUUUCUGUUUGGGAAUAUGACAGCUUCUUUGUCAUUCUAAUCAAACCAGGAUAAAUCGCGAUGUAAAAAGCUUGAUUUGGAUAUAUAAAGUAAAGGAGAAUCACUAUGAAGUUGAAUAAAUCUCAUAGGAGUUAGGAUGAAGAAGUUGUCCUACUUUCAAAUCAGGUGAUCCCAGUUUUUCUGUUUGGGAAUUUGACAGCUUCUUUUUCAUUCUAAUCAAACCAGAAUGAAUUGUGAUGUAAGAAGCUUUAAUUGGAUACAUACAGUAGUGGAGAACCAUUAGGAAGUUGAAUAAAUCUCAUAGGAGUUAGGAUGAAGAAUCUAUCCCACUUUCAAAUAAGGUUAUCCCAAUUUUCCUGUUUGGGAAUAUGACCGCUUUCUUGUCAUUCUAAUCAAACCAGGAUGAAUCGCGAUGUAAGAAGUUUGAUUUUGAUACAUAAAGUAAUGGAGAAUCACUAGGAAGUUGAAUAAAUCUCAUAGGAGUUAGGAUGAAGAAGCUAUCCCACUUUCCAAUCAUGUGAUCCCAAUUAUCCUGUUUGGGAAUAUAACAGCUUCCUUGUCAUUCGAAUCGAACCAGGAUGAAUCGCGAUGUAAAAAGCUUGAUUUUGAUACAUAAAGUAAUGGAGAAUCACUAGGAAGUUGAAUAAAUCUCAUAGGAGUUAGGAUGAAGAAGCUAUCCCACUUUCAAAUCAGGUGAUCCCAGUUUUUCUGUUUGGGAAUAUGANNNNNNNNNNNNNNNNNNNNNNNNNNNNNNNNNNNNNNNNNNNNNNNNNNNNNNNNNNNNNNNNNNNNNNNNNNNNNNNNNNNNNNNNNNNNNNNNNNNNNNNNNNNNNNNNNNNNNNNNNNNNNNNNNNNNNNNNNNNNNNNNNNNNNNNNNNNNNNNNNNNNNNNNNNNNNNNNNNNNNNNNNNNNNNNNNNNNNNNNNNNNNNNNNNNNNNNNNNNNNNNNNNNNNNNNNNNNNNNNNNNNNNNNNNNNNNNNNNNNNNNNNNNNNNNNNNNNNNNNNNNNNNNNNNNNNNNNNNNNNNNNNNNNNNNNNNNNNNNNNNNNNNNNNNNNNNNNNNNNNNNNNNNNNNNNNNNNNNNNNNNNNNNNNNNNNNNNNNNNNNNNNNNNNNNNNNNNNNNNNNNNNNNNNNNNNNNNNNNNNNNNNNNNNNNNNNNNNNNNNNNNNNNNNNNNNNNNNNNNNNNNNNNNNGUUCGCAGUUCAUAUCGUUGAUCGAUGGGAUGAUCAGCGAAUGUGGUUCUGAGACCAGUCGCCUUUCCGGGGAGUUGGUGGAGCUUCAGGGAAGAUGGUCCGAAACCGAGGCUAUGUUGCCGGCUGUCGAGGACUCUCACUCUGUGAAAGUGUCGAAGCUCGAGGUUGCGAUAGGAGAGCUUGAGAGGGACCUUGGGAAGACGGCGAGUUCCUUGCUCAAGGAAAAGAAGGCCAGGAAGGCCAAAUCCUCGGAGCGGGACGAUCGCUCGGUCGCUACGUAGUGACCGAGCUUUGGCUCGAGCUCGGUCGCUGCGGGACAAUCGCUCGGUCGCUAUGUAGCUACCGAGCUUGGCUGAGCUCGGUCGCUACGUAGCGACCGAGGUCGCUGCGUAGCGACUUGUUUCGAGCUUUUUGUCGGACAUCUCGAUUCUUUCUUCCGUAAAGCUUUUCUCGUAAGAAAGAGUCUAUUUCCGAAAAAUACUCUUCGGAGAAAUUCUUAUUUUCUUCCUCGGUCGUUUUGAAUGUUAAAUUUGUCGUAACCGUUUUUGACCCCAACAAGCUACAGGUAAAAGUUUGUUCCUAGUUUCUCUCUCUCUAAUUUUCUUUCUUGAGUCAAAGUCUGCUUCCAUUGCAAAAUCAGUGACCAAGAUUGGAGAGGCUUCCAUGAAUCAAAACUUAAUGGUGGUUGCCACCAAGUUCUGUUCACUUCUUUUUGACCUACAUCCAAGAGUUCUUUGCGAAAGCGAGCCUUGAAGAUUGCCGCCUCCAAGUCCUGUUUCGAACUCUUUUAUUUGAGUCUUUAUGAAUCAAGCCUUAAUGGUUUUAGCCACCAAGUCCUGUUCAGACUCAUCCUAAUUAAACCAUAGAUCUUUUAUUAUUAUUAUAUUAUUAUUAUUAUUAUUAUUUUUAUUAACUCACUAACUAAUCUAGGGUCGAAAUUUAGAGAGAAAAAAUGUGAUAAAUAAUCUAAACCAGGCGUUACCUUCCAGACCUGUCUGGAGAAUCCGAUCCCAUGUAUACCAAGCCCCAAGACAAGCGGUUAUGUCAGGUUUAGUGUUGGAAAUCAGCUUUGGUUACUUCAUAUGGUUCAAGGCAAGUGUUUAGUUGAUAGGUUGAUCCGCUUUAGCAUCUUUAGUGCUAUCUGCCAUCACUAAAUCUAAAAUGGUGCUAAAGAUUGGUUAGAUAUUCAAGUUUAAAUCAAUAUAAAAUUAUAGUUUUUAUUUUCAAUAGCUAAGCAUAAUUUAUUAAAAUUCCUUUUUAUAUAAGAAUAAAAUAAAUUAUAUCAGUAAAUCUCACCCCAGACUUAAAUUACAAUGUCCCAGUGUAACUCAGCCGGAGUUAUGAUGAAAAGUUAUGAUGUACGAAAUGUAACAAGGAAGAUACGUCUUGCCGGAUUAGAUAUCGAUCGAUGUGUAAGUGUUAUAUCGAUCGUCAUGUGCUUGUCUACGUCGAACGAUGUCGACGUCUCGUCGUCGGUCGAUAUUCAGGUCCUCCUACUUGGGUCUCCUAAAUCUGAAAGAAAUAAACGAAAGUAAAUAAAUGCUAGCUAAUAAAACCAAAGUAAAAUACCUAAUAGUGGGUUGCCUCCCACUCAGCGCAUGGUUAUAGUUAUUUAGCUUGACUGUGGUAAUGAUUGGCUAUUGGGUGGAGAAACAGCUGCUUGUUGGUUGGAAAGCAAGCAUCCACGUCAUCUCUGCACAUUCUGAACCAAAAUGCAAUGAAACUUCUUGUGGCCUCAUCAUUUCUUGUCCAUUUGUCAUCCAUCUUCUCAAGUACAUUGGAGAUGUUCUGUAGCCUUUCUUGAACGUUGUCAAUGCUGACCUGGUGCCAACCAAUGUUGUCAUUGGCGUAUGCUGAAAGAUCUGCCAGUUCCUUUUGCAUUGAUUCCAUCGUCUUAUGUAUCAGUUGCUCGCUGAUUGGUGUAGACUCGGCGUCGAUCGAUGCGAUUAUGUGUUCGUUGGUCGAUCUGGGCAAGUUGCCAUCGAUCGAUUUCGCUCGUGUCCUGUCGAUCGAUGCUGAUAUCUGGUGUUUGGCUGCGAUUUUCCUCUGAAUGGCUUUGACUUCUUUCUAUAGCCAUUCUGCGUGGCUGUCUAGUCCACUGAUUUUGUUGUCGAAUGGAAAGUAGAUGUCAUCGCAGCGUUUGUGAAGUCGUUCCUCCAUGGUGUCUAAAGCAGUGUAGAUCUUGGAUGUGAUCUUGUCAACCUCUGCUGCUGUGUAAGGAAGUAACUCCACAGGUUUUUUGCCAUCGAUCCAAGGCCCUCGUAGCCUGUCGAUUGAUGCUGAUUUUGCCUGCAAAAAAUUUUGAUUAGUAAUGUUCUCAGUAUCCUUUUGGGCAUGAAGUAAUUGACUAAACAAUUUGUUUAAAUAUAUCAUGACUGGUGAUAUAAAGCGGUCAUGCAUAUCCUCGUAAGUCCUCAGCCUCUCAUUCAUGGCUGAGACUUUAGCGUCGAGCGAUGUGAAGGUACACAUGUCGAUCGAUGUGGCUGGUUGUUGGUCCUUCUUGGGAAUGGUGUCUAGAUCUUGCUGUAGUAGCUCUAUUUUAGUGCUUAUCCCACUUUCAAAUCAGUUGAUUCCAGUUUCCCAGUUGAUUCCAGUUUCCCAGUUUGGGAAUAAGACAACUUCUUCGUUGUUCCAAUCGAACCAGGAUGAAUCACUUUGUAAGAAGCUUGAUUUGGAUACAUAAAGUGGUGGAGAAUCACCUGGAAGUUAAAUAAAUCUCAUAGGAGUAGGGAAGAAGAAGUUAUCCCUUUUUACAAAUCAAGUGAUUCUAGUUUCCCAGUUUGGUAAUGAGACAACUGCUUCAUCGUUCCAAUCGAACUAGGAUGAACCACUUUAUAAGAAGCCUGAUAUGGAUACAUAAAGUGGUGGAGAAUGACCAGGAAGUUGAAUAAAUCUCAUAGGAGUAGGGAAGAAGAAGUUAUUCCACUUUCAAAUCAGUUGAUUCCAGUUUUCCAGCUUGGGAAUAAGACAACUUCUUCGUCGUUCCAAUCGAACCAGGAUGAAUCACUUUGUAAGAAGCUUGAUAUGGAUACAUAAAGUGGUGGAGAAUGACCAGGAAGUUGAAUAAAUCUCAUAGGAGUUGGGAAGAAGAAGUUAUCCCACUUUCAAAUCAGUUGAUUCCAAAUUCCCAGUUUGGGAAUAAGACAACUUCUUCGUCGUUCCAAUCGAACUAGGAUGAAUCACUUUGUAAGAAGCUUGAUAUGGAUACAUAAAGUGGAGGAGAAUGACCAGGAAGUUGAAAAAAAUCUCAUAGGAGCUGGGAAGAAGAAGUUAUCCCACAUUCAAAUUAGUUGAUUCCAGUUUCCUAGUUAGGAAUAAGACAACUUCUUCGUCGUUCCAAUCGAACCAGGAUGAAUCACUUUUUUAGAAGCUUGAUAUGGAUACAUAAACUGGUGUAGAAUGACCAGGAAGGUGAAAAAAAUCUCAUAGGAGCUGGGAAGAAGAAGUUAUCACACUUUCAAAUCAGUUGAUUCCACUUUUCCAAUUUGGGAAUAAGACAACUUCUUCGUCGUUCCAAUCGAACCAGGAUGAAUCACUUUUUUAGAAGCUUGAUAUGGAUACAUAAACUGGUGUAGAAUGACCAGGAAGUUGAAAAAAAUCUCAUAGGAGCUGAGAAGAAGAAGUUAUCCCACAUUCAAAUCAGUNNNNNNNNNNNNNNNNNNNNNNNNNNNNNNNNNNNNNNNNNNNNNNNNNNNNNNNNNNNNNNNNNNNNNNNNNNNNNNNNNNNNNNUAUCCCUUUUUACAAAUCAGGUGAUUCUACUUUCCCAGUUUGGGAGUAAGACAACUUCUUCAUCGUUCCAAUCGAACUAGGAUGAAUCUCUUUGUAAGAAGCUUGAUAUGGAUACCUAAAGUGGUGCAGAAUGACCAGGAAGUUGAAAAAUAUUUCAUAGGAGCUGAGAAGAAGAAGUUAUCCCACAUUCAAAUUAGUUGAUUCCAGUUUCCCAAUUUGGGAAUAAGACAACUUCUUCGUCGUUCCAAUCGAACUAGGAUGAAUCACUUUGUAAGAAGCUUGAUAUUGAUACCUAAAGUGGUGUAUAAUGACCAGGAAGUUGAAAAAAAAUCUCAUAGGAGUUGGGAAAAAGGAGUUAUCCCACUUUCAAAUCAGUUGAUUCCGGUUUCCCAGUUUGGGAAAAAGACAACUUCUUCGUCGUUCCAAUCGAACCAGGAUGAAUCACUUUGUAAGAAGCUUGAUAUGGAUACAUAAAGUGGUGGAGAAUGACCAGAAAGUUGAAAAAAAUCUCAUAGGAGCUGGGAAGAAGAAGUUAUCCCACUUUCAAAUCAGUUGAUUCCAGUUUCCCAGUUUGAGAAUAAGACAACUUCUUCGUUGUUCAAAUCGAACCAGGAUGAAUCACUUUGUAAGAAGCUUGAUUUGGAUACAUAAAGUGGUGGAGAAUCACCUGGAAGUUGAAUAAAUCUCAUUGGAGUAGGGAAGAAGAAGUUAUCCCUUUUUACAAAUCAGGUGAUUCUAGUUUCCCAGUUUGGGAAUAAGACAACUUCUUCAUCGUUCCAAUCGAACUAGGAUGAACCACUUUGUAAGAAGCCUGAUAUGGUUACAUAAAGUGGUGGAGAAUGACCAGGAAGUUAAAUAAAUCUCAUAGGAGUUGGGAAGAAGAAGUUAUCCCACUUUCAAAUCAGUUGAUUCUAGUUUCCCAGUUUGGGAAUAAGACAACUUCUUCGUCGUUCCAAUCGAACUAGGAUGAAUCCCUUUGUAAGAAGAUUGAUAUGGAUACAUAAAGUGGUGGAGAAUGACCAGGAAGUUGAAAAAAAUCUCAUAGGAGCUGGGAAGAAGAAGUUAUCCCACUUUCAAAUCAGUUGAUUCCAGUUUCCCAGUUAGGGAAUAUGACAACUUCUUCGUCGUUCCAAUCGAACCAGGAUGAAUCACUUUAUAAGAAGCUUGAUCUGGAUACAUAAAGUGGUGGAGAAUGACCAGGAAGUUGAAAAAAAUCUCAUAGAAGCUGGGAAGAAGAAGUUAUCCCACUUUCAAAUCAGUUGAUUCCAGUUUUCCAAUUUGGGAAUAAGACAACUUCUUCGUUGUUCCAAUCGAACCAGGAUGAAUCACUUUGUAAGAAGCUUGAUAUGGAUACAUAAACUGGA
RNAcentral lists this long non-coding RNA (66715 nucleotides) under Brassica napus (rape). Its description in RNAcentral is "long non-coding RNA (BNAP_LNC018704)". Lineage: Eukaryota; Viridiplantae; Streptophyta; Magnoliopsida; Brassicales; Brassicaceae. The record is from RNAcentral.